Molecule: long non-coding RNA, 50245 nt
Filed under: Ananas comosus (pineapple)
Lineage: Eukaryota; Viridiplantae; Streptophyta; Magnoliopsida; Poales; Bromeliaceae
Description: long non-coding RNA (ACOM_LNC022316)
Source: RNAcentral
UAGGGAUGUGAAAAAGGAAAAAAAAUCAAGUUGUAAUAAUUAUGUUAAAUGGGAUUGUAUUUGGAACUUAACAAGAGUUGAAAAUGUAAUAUGUAAAAUGUAUGUAUGUUGGAUGCUUGUAAUAGCAUAGCGUUUAUGUUUUUGAUACCUUCCUUAUGCAAUCUUUGUUUGAAUGCUGUUCCUGGUUGAAACCUCGCGCAUUGUAUGAUUGUGACGUCUUGGACGUACAGGGGAGACUCUGUCCGCGAUACAGGGGAAACCCUGUCCGUUCGGCGGUAUGUUGGCGUGCCCGAAUCCGACCAAAUAGGUGGGGCUCGGGGCGUGACAACUAUAGUCAAUCCAUUUCCAUAAGAAUAAGCCGUGAAGUAUCGUGUACCGUGCAGAGGUAUUCACCAUCCCAACAUCUUUUUGAGUGUUGAUAGUGUUAUAUCAAAUAUGACAAAUUCGUUUUGACCUGAAGGUGUAUUUAUACUAGUAUGCUACUUUUUGUAUACCCAUCUAGCAUAUAGGUACACUAAUACAGAAGUAAAGCACAAUAUUUAAGGACUUGCCCUGCAUGCCUAAAAGCGACAGCUAUAGAUUAACCGGUGCACACCUUUAAAAUUAUAGCAAGUACCUAAAUAAAUUAGUGACAUGUCUUCUCUUGCAAGUCAGUACAUACUUUGACUUGAUUCAUCCCGCAGGUGCUGACAGUGGGUGUCUCAUAUAUGUAGAUUCUACUAUUACAUGUCGGUAAUAUUACUUAAUGCCUGACUUAUGAAUAAUCUGCAUGAUAAGACAUGUCAAUUUCCUUUAGUAUUGUCUUUUGAGUUGGUAAAGGUGUACCUUAGUCCACCAGAGGUAUUCCAUUGGACAUUAAGAUAGGAAUGCACGGACAGACCUUCAUAAUUUAUUAAUAUAGCUAGCACUGUAUAAUGGGUAGGGGUGGAAACGAGCCGAGCUCGAGCGAGCUUACCUCAGCUCAAACUUGGCUUGAAGUUAUUUUCGAGCCUAAAUUUAGGCUCAAGCUUCGCUUGAAAUUAAUUCGAGCCGAGCUCGAGCGAGCCUAACUUCGAGUCGAGCGAGCUCGAGCCCUAAAUGAGCCGCUUAAAAUUCUUAACAUCAUGCAAUCUAUAAUUUAAUUUUUAUAAAACAUUAUGUAAAAUUUGAUACAAAAUGUCACGCCCCGGGACCGGCGGAGGCCCUCCCGGUANGACGAGUAGCUAUAAUUCUAAAGCUAAUACAAAAUAGUUGGGGAAGGGCUGGUUAAGUAGAGCUUCAGAGUAUUUUCAUCAUAAGCUGUAAGCUUUUACAACUAUGGGAGAUAGUCCUACGGGGGCGUUAUACAGGUAUUAAUCAACCACUGAUCACUUGCCAGAUCACGCUGUACCAGAGAAUAUGUUCCAUAAAACUUUGAGUUUCUGUGGAAGCAACUAUUUGUAUUGAACGUGGAGUAGGGUUAUUAGAAGGAGAAGUAGAUUCUUACGGUACUCUAAGCGGUGUCAACCUCUAGAUUUUUGAGCUGCUAACUAAUUGACUCAGUAGUGAUGUUAGGUUGUUUUUUUAUUUUUCGUUAAAAAUCUUUCUUACUUGUAAGAUUAUACGUACAAUUAAAUGUGUUAGAUUUUUACGACCUAAUACUUCACCGUUAAAGCUAAAGUCUACCGAGUCUACAUUUUUCCAAAUCUUAUUUUGACACCGACAUCACCCUAACCAGGUAAGAAGGGAUGGUAAAUGUAGAUGAUGGGAAAAUACGUAGUAACAGCUUUGUUUUUACACUAUACUUAUACGACGUAUUUCUCUUCGUUACCUGUUUUAUGAUGAUAAUCAAGGUUUACCAAUUCUUUAACAUUAAUAUUAUCCUUUUUUUACACGACGAUAGUCAAAGUAUACCAAUUCUUUUACGUUAGUAUUUUCAGGUAACUACAUUCGAUCGAAAGUUCACAUUCCCAAACGUUAUUUUACAAUAACCGUUGACGUCACCAGACAGGGACGGAGGUAUGGUAAAUAUUGUGGUAUAGUAACUGAUUUGAUGUUAAAUUAUGUUUUUUACGACGUAUUAAUCGUUAUCGUUACGAAUUUCUCGUUAUUGUAUCUAUGUAUUUCUCGUUCUUAUCACGGAGAACUAUACGACAGUAGUUAGUAAGAAUCAAAAGUUUCACGUUAUUAUAUCCACGUAUAUCACGUCCUUUUUUCUAAUAUACGACAGUAGUUAAGUAAUUUCUCUUUGACGUACUCAUAUCAAGGUAAAUUUCGUCUUGUAUUUUUUCUUUUUUAUACAACGGUAGUAAAGGUGUCUCUAUCUCUUGACCUUCAUAUUUCCAGUACAAUAAAUUCGUCCUAAUUCUCACUUUCCCAAAUUUUAUUUUACCACCGACGUUAUCAUCAGUAGGGAUGAAGGUUGGUAAAUGUAUUUUUCGUCCUUGUUACGGAGAACUAUAGCACGGUAGUUUAUAUCUAUCAAAUGUUUGACGUGUUUAUAUCUACGAAUUUAUCGUCCUUGUUUUUUAAUAUACGAUGGUAGUUAAGUUCUAAAAUUUAUAUUGAUAUAAUAUGUAAGUAUUCGUUUCAAUGUCUCCUUUUUAUACGACGGUAAUUAGGAAUUAGUCACGUUUUUGAUGUUAUAAUAUUCGGGGUAGCCAAGAUUAAUUAAAUUUUAUCGUUAUUAAUCAAAAAUUUGUCGUCCUAUAAUGAUAAAAUUUGUCACUUCAUUGUAGCAAGGUAUGUAAACUCAAAGGUUGAUGUAACUGGUAUUUAUCAUGCUAUUUCCUAUUGUAUUCGACGAUAGUUAAGAUGUAUCUAAUCUUUAUCGGUAUUAUAUCCUUUGAUUUUCUGGUAUUUAUAUCAUCAAAUCUAUGUUUUUUCCCGCUUUGUCAUCCUUGCAUUAAGUAUAUCCGGAACGAUUGGUGUAUCUUUUGGGUUUUAUAUAGUUCAAACACACGUUCCGGCGUUUUUGGUCCACCGUCUAAUUUCUAUAAAUAGAUCAAUCCUCCCUUCCUCCCACGCAGUCCGUACAAAGGUCACCGGUCGGCAACGUACUGGUGAACUGCCAGUUAGGUGUAUAUGUUUUAUAGAGGUGAGUAUCUGUACUUGUAACUGGAUAACGCGAGUAGGAACUUUCGCAGUGUACGUCUCUCCUAUCGAAGUUCUCUAUCUGGCCCUUACAAUAAAUCAGAAUGGUAUGUGAGGAGAUACCUCACUUCAAAACCUGUUCGCAGUUAGAGUGCGACAUCGUUAGCGAGUCGAUACAAGUUAGAAAAAAACGGUUCGAGUUGGUUGAGAACGUAUGUUAGUCUCAACAAAAGUUAAAAAGGAAAUGCCCAACUACAGCCACAUCAGAAUGCACUGCCUCCACUCCUUGCUGCAGAGAAUGGUCUUCUUCAUACUCGUCUUCGUGAUCAUUACACGCCUAAAGGUGAGAAUUGACCCCAACCUCACCCUCUUAUACUUCAACGUAGUAACUACGGUAGAAGUAAAACGCCGCUGUAACGGUACCCAUUAACCACCGAUGGUCUUCAAACGGGUACAGGACUUCCUGGCCGGUACCUAAAAGACUAAACGAGAUUUUACCGCCAACACGGGCCCCUACUACUACUGUACGAUGCUUGUAGGAGUGAAACGUAAGGUCAGCAUUUAGGUACGGAUGGGCAUCGUCACCAGAAAGGUCUAUUCUUGAGUUACAGGAAUAUACGUCCCUUGCCAAACAGGGAUGUGAAUCGUAUUCGACUUAAAAGAACAUUGUUAUAUUUUGUGUUACCAGUUGACUCUUUUGAUAUUAAUAUAUUUUUAAUUUUAAAGUUCUAUUAACCAAGUUGUUGUAUGGCGAUGGUGAUGUAAGGUUAGUGAAUCCAGCGGACGACAACCUUACAACGCUAGUAUUAGGGUUGGGGUAGGUGAGAAUAAUCGAUUACAAACUAUGUACUGCUUAACAGCGAAGUUGUGAAAAUCAGCUAAAACAUUUACCGAAAAUUGUUUCAAACGAAAACAAGCGUCCAACUUUAGUACUUAAUAAGAAGGGGUUCGUUCACCUCAUUUUGAAGGUAACUGCUUUAAAGGUUCUUGUACAAGAAGACAGUAGUUCAAGUUGUAACGGCUUAGGUACUGGAAACAGGUUAAAGGUCUCGCAUGAGACCCAAAGCUCUAAAGGACUGACACCGAAACCUCCGAAACCGAUAGUCAACUCCACUGUAGUUAUUGCAAAUACAAAACAGAAUGUUUUGCUACUUGAACAGAUAAAACUCCAUCGUAGACUUCAAUUAGUUGUAUAUUUAUUUAUUUAUUUAAUUGUUCAGCAGCACUUCAUGUCGAAUAUCAUUCAAUUGUACCGAAUCUUCUUUCCCCUAUUACUACUAGUGCCACCGACGUUACGCUUUUUGUACGGUGGGUUGGUACUUCAAGAUCAAAGAAUGGGUACGUAGUAGCAGAGUAAAAUACAGUUUAUUCCGUAGGUUGUUCCGUUGUCUCUUUCGUGGUGGUAAAGUGUUAUGGAGGUUCUAGUAUACGUAACUCAUGUACAAGUAGUCGUCUAUGACUAUUAAGGGUCACAAGUCGAUAUAUAUCUUGUACCAAUAAGGUCAAAAAAUUGACACAUCUUAACUACCGUCGUAUAGAAAUAAAAACAGGACGAUAAAUACUUGGAUAUAAUAACGUGAAACUUAUCUGGGUAUGUUUACUACCGGAUAGGUCUCUCGGAUUUAUUUUACGUUAUCCUUCUGUUUCUUUGUAUUAUAUUUAUCGUACGUUUUAAUAUAUUUUGUUGUUGGAACAGAAAGUUGUUAUAAUAAAUGAUAAUAAAUUUCAUCCGUGUAAUAUAAUGUCUUUAAUUCUUUUUAGACUACCAAAUGGAUUUUUAGAUUAAUAAAUUUUAGUUGAUAAUACUUGAAAAGUCGUAUUAUCAACAUUUUUUACUUAUUCUUUAUUUCAUUAUUCUGCUUAGAUCAUCUUUGGUUCUCUUUUCGUUCUGCAUUCUCAUCUACUUAAAAGCCGGUAUUAAUUAUGUGAGUUUGACUUCGAAAUGUUAACUUUAUUUUAUUAUUAUCCUUAGUUGUGUAUUUAUAUUUACCUCGUUAGUGAGUUGUACUUACUUAGCAGGAUACAUAACUUAACCAUCGACGUAUCCUGAUUAGGGUAUACGGAGGUUUAGUGUUAUGUAGACUUAAGUUUUUACGAAGUGACGAACAAUUAUCCUAUGUAGAGCAAGGGUAAGUUCCGGGUCGUAAUAGUUUCAAUCCGGUGUUCAAUGUAGUUUGAUCUAUUUUUUUUUGGGUGGAAACAUUCUAGUUCCUCGCGUUUAUGCUAAUUGAUAAGUCUACUCGUGUCACUUCCCAUCUCAAAGGAGUUGGUGUCUUAAAAACUCCCCAAACGUAGAGUGGGACCACGUAUGAUAAAUAUCCCUUCUUCAGUCCUGAAUGAUACAAUCCAUCCUCUUUUAUUCACAUCAAUUACCUCUGCUGAGCUGUUGAGCUUGAUUGUCGUUCUAGCCUCUUCUAUAGAAAGACAACACGUCGGUUCUCUCUAACGGAAUUAAUUACCGGCUAGAUGCGUCCCUUGGCUCGAAAACUUUUGUUAUCUACGCAUCCUCUGUAACGAAGUCCUCAUUUUCGUUUGGUGAGGUUAUUUAUCCCAAAACCCCGUCACUUCUUCUGCUAUUUAUCCCAGAAACCCCGCCACUUCUUCUACUGCGAUAGAAACCAUCCGCGCUCCGUCAUUUUUCCUUUUUUUUUCUUUACAAGCGGAUCCCUUCUCUUCUUCUCAUCCCUCUCCCCAUAUCUAUCCACGCUCCUUUUUCAUUUCUUCUUAGUGUUCUCCUUCUUCUGCUGCGUCGAAGAGCUCUUUUUCUACUUCUGCUUCUACCCCGUCCACGUUCUCAUUUCCCCGCUAUGCUUGCUCCGUUUCGUCGUUUUAUUUUAUCUUAAAGGGUAGGGACGGGGACCCUGUUUUAGAUUAAGGUCCCCACCCCCCCUUAAUUAGAAUUGCCCAAUAAGGUCAAAAAAGACCUUAUUGGGCGAAACUGGCCAUAUUCGAUAAGGACAGAAAAAAAAAACAAACCAUCUUAUAUAUCCUAUUUUAUGAAAUAGGAGACCAAUAAGAUAAUGGUUUGUAUCGGAAUACCAUAUUUUCACAAGAUUUGGGUUUUUGACUAUCGUCACAAGAUAAUUCGAAAUGCUUACAAGAUAAUUCAGUAUUCUCCCAUUCUAACGUUACGUAUAUACAAGCGUUGACGUUUGGACUAUUUUCACAAGAUAAUUCGAGAUUCUCAUAAGAUAAGAUGAUACUGUUUUCUCACAAGUGUUGGUGUUUUGAUAAUUCUCACAAGAUAAUUAGAAAUGUUGACAAGAUAAUACCGUGUUUUCACAAGAUAAGAUGAUACUGUUUUCUCACAAGUGUUGGUAUUUCGAUAAUUCUCACAAGAUAAUUAGAAAUGUUGACAAAAUAAUACCGUAUUUUCAUAAGAUAAGAUAUUACUGUUUUCUCACAGGUGUUCAUAUUUUGAUAAUUCUCACAAGAUAAUUGGAAAUGUUGACAAGAUAAUACCGUUAUUUCACAAGAUAAGAUGAUACUGUUUUCUCACAAGUGUUGGUAUUUCGAUAAUUGUCACAAGAUAAUUAGAAAUGUUAAUAAGAUAAUAGCGUAUUUUCACAAGAUUUGGGUUUUUGACUAUCGUCACAAGAUAAUUCGAAAUGCUUACAAGAUAAUUCAGUAUUCUCCCAUUCUAACGUUACGUAUAUACAAGCGUUGACGUUUGGACUAUUUUCACAAUAUAAUUCGAGAUUCUCACAAGAUAAGAUGAUACUGUUUUUCUAAUAAGUGUUGGUAUUUCGAUAAUUCUCACAAGAUAAUUGGAAAUGUUGACAAGAUAAUACUGUAUUUACACAAGAUAAGAUAAUACUAUUUUCUCACAAGUGUUGGUAUUUCGAUAAUUCUCACAAGAUAAUUGGAAAUGUUAAUAAGAUAAUACCGUAUUUUCGCAAGAUUUCGAAUUUUGACUAUCGUCACAAGAUAAUUCGAAAUUUUUAUAAGAUAAUUCAGUAUUCUCCCAUUCUAACGUUACGUAUAUACAAGCGUUGAUAUGUAGACUAUUUUCACAAGAUAAUUCGGGAUCUUUACAAGAUGAUACUGUUUACUCACAAGUGUUGGUAUUUCGAUUAUUCUCACAAGAUAAUUCGACAUUCAUACAAGAAAAUACCGUAUUCUCACAGUCUAACAGUUCGUAUGUACAAACGUUUGUGUUUAAAAUAUUCUCACAAGAUGAUUCUCACAAGAAUAUUCGAGAUUCUCAUUUGGGAAAUACCGUAUUCUCACUGUUUAACAUUGCGUAUGUACGAGUGUCGGUUGAUAUGUGCUUAUGUUUGUUUAAUUAAUAAUUAUGUUUAUAUGUUCAUACGUAUUCUCUUAUAUGAUCAUUGGGGUUUGUAUAAAAGAUAUGGAAAGACGUAUGAUCAUUGCGAUUUAUACAAAAGGUAGUAUUUGAUUCGUUUUAAAAUACUUUACGUACUUUAUAUACACACAAUGACACCUGCGUAGAAGAUUUGGGAUUUGGGAUUAAGAUUAGUAUUUAUGAAAUAAAAAUGUUUACGUUAUUUUUUAUAUUAUAUGGUCGUCACAGGAUUUUUAUUUUAAUUAGUCGAUCAGCCACUGCUUUAGGCCUCGUGCAUUUCUGUUUGGGUUGGACGUUGGGAUUUGGGAGUUUUAUAUCUUAAAUAUAAUUUAAAUUUUAAAAUUUAUUUUCUAAUAUCUUUAAGUUUUUAUUACGGGACAAACUCAACUUAGGAGACAAGCCAACAACGGCUUAAUCGAGGCUUUAGCAAAAGUUAAAACCUGCGUGUACUCACGUCCUUACUCACUGUCCAUGACCCUACUUAUCCCCUCGUUAACUCUCCGUUAGAGGAUGGUUACCUCUCUCCGCUCCCGCUCUCUGUGGAAGCUCUGCCGAAACCUGUGCUCUACACACCUUGCUCACGACGGAUUGAAAACGGGCUACCUCAACUCACGGGACGGUCACUCUCGCUCUCUUUCUCUCUCCCUUCUCGCGCUCUAGUUCUCUCUCCGCUCCCUCACUCUCUCUCUCGCUCUUUGCCUCUCUCGCUCUUAUUCCACACGCCCUCUCUCUCUCUCUCUACACAUGAUCUUCCCAUAUCGAAAUCCUUCUUUAUUUUUCCCCUCACUUCAAUCGACGAUGAUGACACGAUCACGGGAUUAUAGUCGGCAACCUAGUAUGCCCACAUCCUACAUGUGGAAAGAUUUCAUCAGACCGAUCUCAAAAGGAUAAAAUAUCAAUAUAUUAAAUAAAUUAAAUAUAAAAAUAUAUAUUUAUUUAUUAAUAUAUAUUAUAUAUAAAAAUAAUAAAUUAAAAAUCGUUUUAUUUUUAUAUUUACGCUCGAAUUAAUAAUUUUUUAUGUACAUUUCAAAGUUAAUAAUCUAGUUUCAGAUUACCUAUUCUAAAAUAUUUAAAUAAAAAAUAUAUAUAAAUUAGAUUAAAAAAAAUUAAAUAACAAGCAACCGGUCGAGCACUCGGUCGACCAUAAGCCGAGCAAUUAUUUGCUCAACUUGUGCUCGAUUUAAAAAGCCGAGCUAUGAAAUUGUUCGAUUAAGCACAAGAUGAGCAAAUUAUUUGCUCGGCUUGUUUUCGGUUGGGUCGGGCGAGCACAAGCAGAGCAAAUGUGGGGAUGGACGUUCCGACGUUGCGACGACCAGCAACCGAGCCCUGUAAUCUUGUUCGUCGUCAAAGGGGCUUCUGGUGAACGUUUCAGAUUUCGGGUGCAUUUUGGGGGGUGUUCAUUUGGGGAGCUAGGUCAGGAGGGAGCUAGAGAAGGUUACGGCGGGUGAGAGGGAGAAGUGGCGGCGGCGGAGGAGGAGGGCAGGGUGGUGAUGCCACUGGUUUAGGCGUGGAAGCAGCUGCGGGCGCACUUCACCCACGCCCUGGCGCGGGAGCUGGUGCGGCACCUCUUCCUUUUCGUGGAGGUUGGGAAGGUGCGGGAGUUUCUGGAGGAGGAGGAGAGGCGGCGUAGGAGGAGAGGAAGAGGAAGAGGCAGAGGCAGGGAGGGGGAGAGGAGGCAGCGGCGCGCGGCGAGGCUAGAGGCGGAGGGGAAGGCGCGGUAGGCGAAGUAGGCGGAGAAGGGGAGGCGGAAGGAGCUUCUGGAGGGGAGCAGCAGCAGCAGGAGGAGAGCAGGGGUGGGGCAGUAGGCGGUUUUAUAAAACAUUAUGUAAAAUUUGAUACAAAAUGUCACGCCCCGGGACCGGCGGAGGCCCUCCCGGUAGCGUGCCCAGACCCGCCAUAUGUCUACACAUAUAAGGCGUCUACAAUAAAAGCGGAAGUAAAAGCAAGUAAUAGAACAAAUAGAAGAAGUGAAAUAAUGAGCAGCUAAUGAUAUCAGAGCGAGUAAAGUUCUAACAUCUACACCAAGGUAAAAAAGAAUAAAGCUAGACAAUAAAAGAAAUCAUAAGUAGUACAAUAUCUGUCCCAAAAGUACAAAAACGGUGGUCUCUAAUACACUGGUAGAACUCUCAACCUCUCGCAAAAGGAACAAAAAAUCGAGAGGUAGACCACCUAGCAACUCGUCCUCGAAGGAAGCUAGCUCGAAGCAACUCCCUUCCCGCGAUUCCUGGCCUCACCCUGAGUGGAAGGCUCUGAAAAACAUCGAGAAAAAGAGGGCAUGAGAACUAUAAUUUAUAAUUCCCAGUGGGCAAUUACUGACCUCAGCUCAAUGCACCACUAGGCCCCAAAAGAAGAGGGUAAGUACAAUAAUAAUAGCAAUAAAUAGCGAACACGAAACUGCUGAAGGAAGCAUGAAUGAAAUGCUAUGCUACUAUGUCUCCAAUAAGCAUGAUGUUAUGGUAAUGUACAUCUACGCUAUCAUAAGGUAAUAUAUAUCCGAUGCAUACUAAUAUGUCUCAACAUAAAAAGCAAGUAAACCUCACGAUGCCAUAUGUCAAUGCAUAAGGGUAAACUUUAUCCAAACAACCGAGUAUGCUACGAUGCGAUAAUGAAACCGGCAAGUAUACUAAAUGUACCAAUGCUAUAUCAUAAGCGUGUCCAAGUAAUCCAACUACUAAUCCUAUCUAGUAGUGAUUGUUCAUAUUCAACACCGUGUCGAUUUCCAUUUCCAAUUAAGGACCUACCAAAGGUAGUCCAGCUUGUGCCGCCUAAGUGCCUGUGGUAGCCCGACAUUCCUACUCUUGGAAUGUGUCUGUCCCACUCGGCCCCGUAGGCUUCUCAAUACCGCACGAGCGAACGUAGUCGCGUAGGCUAACUCCGGAGUGCCGGCUUGUAGGGAGCGACCCUCACAAGCAUGUGCGAAUGAGCACAAAUGGCAAGCAAGCAUGGUCCAAGUCUCAAGUAUCCAAUUCUCAUGUCUCUAACAUGGUAUAGUCACUAGCAUCCCGAAGACCUAGUUUAAGUCACAAUGUGAAAUUUCAACAUUUGCUACGCCUAGUGCCCCUUGAUGACACUUAGGCAAUUUGAUGUUCGACAUGUUUUCCAAAUCCCUCAAUGGCCCUAUCCACUAAAUUCACACAAGUCCUGAGCUCAAUGCCGCUUGAUGACAUUAGCUCUCCAAUUCACAUGAUAUCAAGUUCGAUGCCUACAUAUGAAGCAAUUGUCAUCUUUCAUGUCUCAAUUAAACUUAUGUUUAAACGCAUGAAUCAUAGCUCAUUUACUCUCUAGAACCAUGAAAUCAAACCCCAUAUAGAAUGCUAAAUGCAACCCAAGAUCUCCCAAACAACUCUCUACUACAUAGAGGUCCAAAGAUACAUCAUAUAUAACAUAUGCAUUUUAAGCAUUCUAAAAAUCAUAAUAAAUACAUUUAAUAUGAAAAUGCAUGAAUUAAUUAGUAACAAAGCACUUAUCACCAAAUAUGAGAUUUUCUCAUAUCAAAGGCUAGGUCAAACCCACCGACGACAACGAAGCUUUUCGUUUGCUCCAACGGAGGUUUCCACAAGCUUUCUAGCACCCUAAGAACAUCAAAAAGGGUGUCAUCCAAUCGAUACGAAGAGUAAUAAGCUCGAUCUUUAACCUAGGAGCAAAAAGGGUCAAACUCACCUCAAGAGUAGAAAUCUUCUCUUAAGCUCCAAAAGAGAGCUAGGGUUCAACCAAUCCAAGCCCAAGGAAGGUUCUAAACCCACCAAUCUAGUCUCUAAAGCCCUAGAAUCAAAAUCCCCAAAAAUAAACCCUAAGUAUCAAAUCUAGGGUUCCAACUCAAAAUUUAGCAAAAACAUGGAUCAAAGGCUCAAAUCAUGUUGCUAACCUCUCUAGAAGCUUGAGUAUUCUAUAGUGUCACCUAAAUAGCUUGGNUAAUAGAGAUGCCACAAUUGCGAAAAACCCCCUGCAGUUCAAACUGCUCAGAUUCUGCCAAAGUGUACCGGUACACGGGAAAGUGUACCGGUACACAUCCUACGAAAACGCAAACCCGAGGCUCGGGUUCGUAAUUUGCCACAAGUGUACCGGUACAACCAUCAAGCGUGUACCGGUACAAAGUGUGUACCGGUACGGCCAUCAAGAGUGCACCGGUACAUCUUGUGCAGAAUGCAAUCCGAGGGUAGGCUAAGUCCAACUUUUUUUGUGACCUUAGCGCUACAUAAAAUACUACAAUUCUCGGGACACGAGCCAUAGGUUGGAACACUGUCAACGACCCACCAGGAAGUCUGGAAAGACUCGGGACACUGUCCAAACACUCGAACCCCGCAAUUUGCAAAAGUCCAGUGCGUCACACAAAAAAUGUCUAAUAGUUCAACAUACAAAGUAAAUGCAUGAAAUACGAUAUUAUAAUAUUAAAAAAAUUAAAAAAAGCGACUCUACGAGGAAGUGAAAAAGAUGUAGAGAAAUUAUAGUAGUAUUUUGCUGGUUUUGUUUUGUGGGCCCAAUAAUCUAAAUUUUAUAUACAUAUAAUUAAAAUACAUAAUAUAUAUUAUUUUAUAUAAUUAAAAUAUAUAUUAUAUAUAAUUAUACUUUUAUGAGUAUAGACUCCUUUAUACUCAUAAGUUUUCGACCAUUAGAUCUAUUCUUUUGACUAUUUUCAUCCGUUUAAUCAUACUAUUCAAUGAACCACCCACUCAAUCCUAGGGGACCACUAUCAUCCUAAUCGCACAUCCAACGGCUAAAAAUUUAAAAUAUAAAGGGGUCUAUACUUAUAAGAGUAUAGUAGCCCGAGCCUAUAUAUAUAUAGAAUAGGCUACUAUAGUAUUAAUAGUACAAACCGCCUGCUAUUAGGUUUUCGGCCCUUUGAUGAAGGGAUGUGCGGUCAGGAUGAUAGUAGCCCCCUAGGAUUGAGUACGUAGGUGGCUAGUUGAAUAGUAUGAUCUAACGAAUGAAAAUGGCUAAAGAGAUAGAUCUAACGGCAGAAAACUCGAUAGCACCAAAUGCUUGAUACUAUCGAUAAUGUAGUAGCCGGACUCUAUAUAUAUGUAGUCAGAUCUAACGAUAGAAAACUCAAUAGUACAAAGUGCUUAGUACUAUUGAUAGUAUGGAUAGUAUAGUAGCCGGACUAUAUAUAUAGAGAGAGAGAGUCUGGCUACUAUAUUAUCGAUAGUACCAAAUGCUUGGUGCUAUCGAAUUUUAUGCCAUUAGAUCUAUCUUUUUGGCCAUUUCCAUCCAUUAGAUCAUAUUAUUCAACUAAUCACCCACUCAACCCUAGGGGAUCACUGUCAUUCUAACCGUACAUCCCUUCAUCCAAGGGCCGAAAACCUAAAAGCAAGUGGUUAGUACUAUUAAUAGUAUAGUAGACUAAUUUUAUAUAUAUAUAUAUAUAUAGAACUAGGCUACUAUACUAUCGGUAGCACGGAGGCCUCCGUGCUACCAAGUUGUUUUCAAUGAUGUGGCUUCCAAAUCGACGAUCGGCUCCGUUAGACUUGAUCUACACUAUUAAAAGUAUUUAGAAACUAAAUUUCAUAAUUUUUCGAUAUCAUUUACCUAUCAAACAAGUAGUCUAAAAUUGAACGGCUGAAAAUAAAAAUCUCAUAAAAAAUAAAGAUAAAAGAUUUAAAUUCAAGAUCAGAUAUACUGAUCUUACUCUAAAUAGUGAAAAGAAUUUUCUAUAAAAUUUUCAUCGUAUUUGGAUUGUUUUACACUGUUAAACUCACAAACACACCACAUCGGCCAUUAAAAUUGUCAAUUUUUAGAUCUUUUGAUCACUAGUCAAAUGAUGUCGAAAAAAUCUAAAAUUUAGUUCCAAAUACUUUCAAUAGUGUAGAUCAAGUCUAACGGAGUCGAUCGUCGAUUUGGAAGCCACAUCAUCGAAAAUAACUUGGUAGUACGGAGCCUUCCGUGCUACCGAUAGAUAUAUAUAUAUAUAUAUAUAUAUAUAUAUAUAUAUAUAUAAAACUAGGCUGGAAUACUAUCAAUAGCACCAAGCUAUUGAUGCUAUUAAUUUUUUAGCCCUUGGAAUGAGAAAUGUGUGGUUAGGAUGAUGUGGGCCCUCUAGGGUUGAGUGAGUGGUUGGUUGAAUAGUAUAAUCUAACGGAUAAAAAUAAUCAAAUGGUUAAAUCUAACGGUGGAAAACUAUAAUAUCCGAGAUUUUGAUAGUGUAGCUAAACCCUUUGUUGACGAUAUUUUUGUGUGUAAUGUAGUUACAUAACCACUCGUCAAGUUUCAGGGAAAAACGAGUUAGAUGGAGAAGUUACGCAACCGAUACUAAUCACUUAAAGUGAAUAGUAACUCCGGUUUUCUAGAGAAGCCAAUGAGUGGAGAAGGCUUUUGGUGUGUAUUGGACUCCGUUCAUAGUGAUCCAAUAGCUCGUUUUCGAUGGUUUGACUAUCCUGGACCCAAUGGCACUGACAGAUUUGGAUUCUGAUGCACGAUUUUCGAGAAAAAGAGUUUUAUUGGAUCUAUUUGUAUAGGUAUGGUUUUUGGAGAUUGGAGAGGGUUGGUUAUGUCGCAAUCGGUGAUCGAAUCGGACGAAACGAAAUCGUAGAUUCGAUGCCCCAGUCAUGCUGAGCGCGCUGGCGUGAUUCGUUUGGAAAUCCGACGGACGGAUCUGCGAGGAACGUGAAAAGUUCAUUGAGGGGUCGAAUUGGUAAAAAUGAAAAAUUCGUGAAAAGUCUAAUAUUUUAUGCGCCGUUUUGCGUGAAUUCGAACGUCGAGGGGCUCGUGUGCAAAAUACACGUACUGGCAGGGGACUUAGCUGUAAACGAUCAGCCUUGGGUGGACUUUUCUGCAAUUAUGCACAUAGUAUAUAAAGUGCAUCUAGGGUUUCCUUGCAUGAAACCCUAGAUUGAUUCCACCCUGAUCCCCCAGCUAACCCUAGCCAUCGCAGCACCCACCCACCUUGCUCGUGUGCACGCCCCUACCGUCGGCGGGCACCCCCGGUCACUGGAAAAGCCACGCCGACCUCCCUCUUCGCUCCUCCCUCUACCGUGCCUCCACCACUUCGGCCGUGAAGCUCAGGAGAACACCCCCUUGAGUCAAGUCUGAGUUCUCUGGCCAAGUCUUCCCCUCCGGCGUCAUCCUCGCCGGCUCCCGCCCUCCGCGUGCGCCGCUGGCGCCGCUAGGACUCGCUGCGGCCGCCCAGACCCAGAGCAGGCCGAGCCGAGAUCACCCUGGCCUCGGUGCGUUGCCUCUACCUAUGAUCGGUGGGGCCGGCCUCCGACAAUCUCCGGCAACACUCUGCUCGCCGUCCCGUCGUCCCGAAGCGCCGCCGGCCGCCCUCAGUGCUCCCUGCGGCCGCCCAGACUCAGUGCGGGCCGAGGCUGAGUCACCUCGGCCACCGCGUGUCGCUGCCGCCCAACGUCGACCACACCGCACUCCCUCGGUCGCCUUCGCCCUGAAGCUCCUCCGGCCGCCACUGCCUUCCCGAACCCGAAUUGAGCUGUUCGAGCUCGUGCUUUGCCCCCGCGCCAUUGGCCGCCUCCCGCAACCGGCCAGCACGCGCCCAACUCCUCUCCGACUGGCCGCGACCUCCCCCUGCCGGAGCGCCCGCCGUCCGGCCACCGCCGGUCACCCUCGGGCUCCUGCUUGCUCCAGUAAGUCUUUAACAGUAUUCUGCACUUUAUUUCGGGUUCCGGUCGCCUUUCCGCCGAUCCGAAGGCACCCCGAUAAUUCUGGAACUGAGCACGACGAUCUCUGAUCCGUGCUGAACAUCGUGCUCACCUCCGUUGGGGUCAGCGAUAACCCGGUUUGCAAGUUAGAUGCGAUUUAGGCGUUGUGCGCGCUGUUUCGCUGAAGUUCGCGUCGCUCGUACGCUUGCCUCAAUGGCCGGCAGUGCUCCGAAGCAUGAGCAUGGCCUCCGGUACGCCGAGACCUAUUAGCGGAUGUCUUGGCCUGGCUGAAUGACCCUCAGUUUGCACUGUCGGGUCAUAAAAGCCCGAAAAUCACAUAAAGUAAUGUGAUAUUAUGGGAUCGGGAGGGUUUUUACGCAAUUGUGCUUUUUGUGGUCGCUGUUGGCAGUGUGUGCGGGCAGUGGGUGACCUUUGGACUGAUUGUCCAAGACUCUAGGCCUUUUUAGAGAUCGAAAAUUGAUUUCCGGUGCGUUCUUUGGUGAAAUCCGCCGACGGAAUACGUUUUCGGUUCGGAAUUCUUCCGACGGUGCCUCGUGAUAAUUUGUGUCGUCGCUGAGCCUUGUUGGCUGGUUACCCGCUUCGUUUCGAGGGUUCGAAAACGACGGGUGAGUGACGGUGGGUUCCGGUGUCGAAUUGGACAUUUCCGGGAACCCGGAUCGGAGCGAUUAUCCAAUGAUAAUCGUUUCGGGGUGAGUUAGUGUAUUUGCUGCCAAGUCACAUGAACAUAUGUGUUUAGUGGCAGCGGGUGACUCAUAACAUGAGUCGGUGAAUUCUGGGACAGUUCGUGGGUCCCGGCGGAGUCUCGGUGCGGUUUCGGGACUUCCGGCGUGUUCGGCAAUCGGUUUUGGGAAACCGAUUCCGUAGGUUCGUUGGUGGGAUUGGUUUCGAGCUAGCUCUUCAGCAAGGGACAAGUUGCUAGGUGGUCUACCUCUCGAUGUAUUUUAUUUUGGGAGAGGUUGAGAGCUGUACCAGUGUACUAGAGACCACCCUUUGUGUACUUUUGGGACAGAUAUUGUACUAUCUUAUGGUUUACUUUUAUUGUUUAGUUGUAUCCUUUUACUUUUGUUAUAGAAAGUAGAAUCUUACUGCUCUGAUAUCAUUAGUUUUUGCUCUUUCCUUUCGGCUAUGUUUCUUGCUUUAUUUUCGCUGUUGAUGUAGACGCCUUAUAUGUGUUGGCAUAUGGCGGGUUUGGGCACACUACCGGGAGGGCCUCUGCCGGUCCCGGGGCGUGACAGAUUAGUUUGGUAUUAGAGACUAGGGUUGAGUCUUAGUGGACCUAGCAAACCUUAGGCCGGUUGGACUAUAGGAAUUAGGCUCGUGAGAGACGAGGUCUAAUUGACUUGUGCGCGAAAGUAUUAUGAUUGGGUUUUAUGACAACUCUAAAAAGUUAGAGUUUGAUCGAAGUGUAUGGCUUCUAACUUCGCGGAGGGUUACGUUGGCGGCUGAUAACGUAACAUCGGGAGUUAGUAGUGGAGGACACUUCCUUACUUUCGCACGAUUUGGGUUUUAUCUAUUUGAGCGGGGAUGCGGUAGCGUGGGUUACUAACUUGCGCUUUUAUGUUUUGUAGUGACGAUGCCGAUUACACGCUCCCAGUCUGCCGGAGCGGAUGAUGCAGCACACCCCGAGGAGGCCGAGACCUCCGCUACUUCCGGAUCUAGUGAGGUCCGUGACUUAAGGUCCCAGCUUGCAGUCCUCACCGAUCUGUUGGCACAGCAGGCGGCAGCGACGCAGCGACAGGCUGAGGUGGCUCAGCGGCAGGAGGCGCGGAUGAAGCAUCUUGAGGACCUCCUACUUCAGCAGGCGGCAGCUUCGAGGGAGACCCAGGUUCCCACACCGCCAGCACCCGUGGUGGACGUCGCACCGAGGGCGCAGUCCCCCGCGCCCAGUUCUUCACGUGCGGCACCGGCGACCACACCUCUUGAGGAGGUGGCUGCGGCACCCCCAGUUCAGAGACCGGCCACGGGGGCAGCUUUUCCCGUGAGGGCUGAGGAAGCCGAGCGGGAUCAGCUCAUGGAUCGCCUCAGUGAGUUCAGGAGGUGCAGCCCGAGAACGUUUGAUGGCGAGAACGUCGACCACUGGAUUGUUGAGAAGUGGUUGAUACACAUGGAGAAGCUUUUUCGAGACACCUUUGUGGAGGAGCGGGACAGAGUUUUGCUUGCCACUCACUUUCUCGACGGCGAGGCCUACCGUUGGUGGUUGGAUAUCCAGGAUAACCCCAACACCGACUUAGCAGCGAUUACUUGGACGAGGUUCAAGGAGCUCCUUCUGGCGCACUACUUCCCGACCAGCGUCAAGAGGAAGAUGGAGCAGGACUUGCGCAGCUUGCUCCAGGACGAACGGUCGGUGGCCGAGUACGAGAGGGAGUUCUCUUGGCUACUUCAUUGUGUACCAUUUGUUGAGAGGGAUGACGAGGACAAGGCCCGCAUUUUUUAGCGCGGAUUGCGGCCUUCUAUUUUCCGGUUGGUGCAGUCUUCCAACCUCCAGACCUAUCGGGAGGUUGUGAAUCGAGCAUUGAUUGUAGAGGCUGGAGCGGUAGAUCUUCAGGAGCGUCGCGAGAGCUCGGAGAAGGGGAAGGGAAAGAGGCCCGCGGCUGAGGAUGCGAGUCAGACGCACUCACGGAGGCCGCCGAGGCACCCCAAGAGCCGGAGCCGGAGCCGGGGACGUGGCUCGUCUACUCAGCGAGGAGGACCCGAUCGUCGCCAGGCUUCCCGCUGCGUGAUCUGUGGUGGUCCUCAUUACUCGCUGCAGUGUUCACGCAGUCGGGGCAGGUGCUUCUUGUGUGGCCAAGAGGGCCACUUUCAGUCGGACUGCCCGAGGAGUCCAUCGCCAGCGCCAUCUUCGGCAUCUGCACCAGCAUCGCCAGGUCCCAGUUAGGGGAUAUCUUCUGCACAUCACCAGGCCGGGCGGCCGCCAGUUCUACGGCAGGCGGAGGGGUCACGACAGGCCCCGAGCGGGCGCAUGUAUGCAGCCCAGACUGAGGAGGCGGCGGCAGCCGAGAAUGUGGUCGCAGAUAUCAUUUUACUUUAUGGUAUUCGAGUUAGAGCAUUGUUUGAUACUGGUGCAUCGCAUUCAUUCAUAGACCGGCUGUUUGCCGAGUUGCAUGGCAUCCCACUUGUAUCUUUGUUGCACCCGGGCCGAGUUAUUGUACCUGACCAUUCCUUGGACAUUCGGGAGUUUUGCCCCAGUUGCCCUGUUCGGGUUGGAGAUUGGACCAUGCUCGCGGACUUGGAGUUUGAUGUUGUGUUGGGCAUGGAUUGGUUGACCAAGUACUUUGCCACCAUAGAUUGCAAAAAUCGAACGGUGACAUUUAGAGAGCCGGGGCAGGCGGAGGUUGUGUACCGAGGAUGCCAGAGUUCGCUGUUUGCGAUGACGAUUAGCUCUUCUCGAGCUCGACAGUUGAUUAGUAGAGGCUGCGUAGCCUACUUGGCUACUGUUGUGCUACGGGGUGAGGAUGACACCCCCAGGAUUGAGGACAUCCCCGUAGUACGGGAGUUUGGAGAUGUGUUCCCAGCUGAGCUUCUGGGCAUGCCACUGGAUAGGGAGAUUGAGUUUGUAAUGGAUCUCGUUCCCGGGACUACUCCAAUCUCAAAGGCACCCUAUAGGAUGGCACCAGCAGAAUUGAAGGAGCUGAAGGCACAGUUACAGGAUCUUCUAGACAAGGGUUUUGUGCGACCGAGUGUGUCACCUUGGGGAGCACCGGUUUUGUUUGUGAAGAAAAAGGACGGAUCACUUCGCUUAUGCGUGGACUAUCGUGAACUUAACAAAGUCACGAUUAAGAAUAAGUAUCCGUUGCCGAGAAUCGACGAUCUAUUUGAUCAGUUAAAGGGAUCCAGUGUGUAUUCCAAGAUUGACUUGCAGUCGGGAUAUCACCAGUUGAAGAUCAAGCCUGAGGAUGUGUCGAAGACGGCUUUUAGAACACGGUAUGGACAUUAUGAGUUUACUGUGAUGCCGUUCGGGCUUACUAAUGCCCCGGCAGCUUUUAUGGAUCUUAUGAACCAUGUGUUUAAGCCUUAUUUAGACAGGUUUGUCAUGGUGUUCAUCGACGACAUUUUGGUCUAUUCCCGAAGUGAUGCGGACCACGAGGAACACUUGAGACUUAUACUUCAAGUGCUUCGGGAAAAGAAGCUCUAUGCCAAGUUGAAAAAGUGUGAGUUUUGGCUUAGAGAGGUGGCGUUUCUAGGCCAUUUGAUUUCAGGAUCAGGGAUAGCUGUGGAUCCAAGAAAAAUUGAAGCUAUCAAGGAUUGGCCGAGGCCGACGUGUGUGACCGAGAUACGGAGCUUCAUUGGUUUGGCCGGCUACUACCGACGGUUUGUUGAGGGAGUUGCAAAGUUGUCUACUCCCCUCACGAGGCUCACGCAUAAAGGCACCAAGUUUAUUUGGAAUGAUGCGUAUGAAAGGAGCUUCCAAGAGUUGAAGCAAAGAUUGACGACCGCCCCGAUCCUAACCUUGCCGACUGCUGGAGCAGGGUAUGUGAUUUAUAGUGAUGCUUUAUUUAAUGGAUUAGGUUGUAUCUUGAUGCAGGACGGAAAAGUGAUUGCUUAUGCAUUCCGCCAAUUGAAGGAUUAUGAAAGGAAUUACCCCACUCACGACUUGGAGUUGGCGGUCGUGGUCUUUGCAUUGAAGCUAUGGUGCCACUACUUAUACGGCGAGCGAUGUGAAGUGUAUACGGAUCACAAAAGCUUAAAGUAUUUAUUCACUCAGAAGGAGUUGAACUUGAGGCAGCGCAGAUUGUUGGAGCUACUCAAGGAUUAUGAUCUCACGAUUCUCUACCACCUAGGCAAGGCUAACGUGGUGGCUGAUGCGCUAAGUAGGAAAUCGACGAAAAAUUUAGCUAUAUUUGUGGUGACUCAACUGCCGUUGAUCGAGCAGAUGAAGCGAUUGGAGUUGGAGGUGGUGGCUCCUGACACACCUUUGAGGCUGAUGAUUUUGGUGGUGCAACCUACACUUAUGGAAAGGAUUAAAGAAAAGCAAGCUUCCGAUGUGGAGUUGCAAAGGAUUCAAGCUAAGAUGGUUGAUGGUUGCACCGGUGACUUCACUUUGGACGGUGAUGGAUUGAUGCGAUUCCGCAGAUGGUUGUGUGUACCGGCGGACUUGAGCAUUAAAGAGGACAUUCUUCAUGAAGCACACCAAGCACCGUAUGCUAUACAUCCGGGAGGCACCAAGAUGUACAAGGACUUGAAGUUGCUUUACUGGUGGCCCGGGAUGAAAAAGAAAGUUGGUGAGUUUGUUGCUAGAUGCUUAACUUGCCAACAGGUGAAAGCUAAGCACCGAGUUCCUGCGGAAAAGUUGCAGAGCCUACCGAUUCGAGUGUGGAAGUGGGAGAAGAUCACCAUGGAUUUUGUGAUGGGAUUGCCUCGCUCACAGGCCGGGCAUAAUGCUAUUUGGGUGAUCGUGGAUAGGCUGACGAAAUCGGCCCAUUUCAUACUUAUCCACACUACUUGGACUGGUGAGAGACUCGCACAGGUUUAUCUGGAUGAGAUUGUGCGAUUGCAUGGGGUACCUACUUCUAUAGUAUCAGAUCGAGAUCCCCGUUUUGUAUCCCACUUUUGGAGGAGCUUACAGGAUGCUUUGGGUACGCGCUUGAAUUUCAGCACUGCUUUCCACCCCCAGAGUGACGGGCAUUCGGAGCGUACUAUACAGACUCUUGAGGACAUGCUUCGAGCCUGCGUGAUUGACUUCCAGGGAGGAUGGUCGCAGCAUCUACCGAUAGCAGAGUUUGCUUAUAACAAUAGUUAUCAAGCAAGCAUCAAAAUGGCACCGUUCGAGGCACUUUAUGGACGGAAGUGUAGAUCGUCACUUCAUUGGAGUGAAGUUGGCGAGAGAUUGGCCUUAUGCCCAGAUGUGCACCAGGAGGUCGAGAACAAGGUUCGCAUUGCUCGAGAGCGACUGUUGACAGCCCAGAGUAGGCAAAAGAGCUAUGCUGAUCGGCGUCGACGAGACUUGGAGUUUCAAGUUGGAGAUCACGUCUUCUUGAAAGUCUCGCCGACUCGAGGGAUUAGAAGAUUUGGAAUCCGGGGUAAGUUGAGCCCCCGAUACAUUGGACCGUAUGAGGUUCUGGAGCGUGUAGGCCCGGUAGCGUAUAGACUUGCUCUACCGCCAAACCUAUCGGGUGUACACAAUGUAUUCCAUAUAUCGGUCCUUCGGAAGUACAUCCACGACCCGGCUCAUGUUUUGGAUGCUACACCACAGUAGGCAAAAGAGCAACCCUUGAGAAUUUUGGCUCGCGAGGUAAAGAGAUUGCGGAACUGGGAAAUUCCCUACGUGAAGGUGCUUUGGAGCAACCACGACGAGCGCGAGGCUACUUGGGAAAUUCCCUACGUGUGAUGCUUAAGUGUCAUAAAGAGGCACUAAGCAAGUGAGUGUUGAUAUAUCACAUUGUGACAUAGAGCUAGACCGUUGGGUUACUAGUAGCUAUUGCCAUGUUUGAGACAUGAGGGUUGGAUACUUGAGCCUUUGACUACGCUUGCUUGCCAUUUGUGCUCAUUCGCACAUGCUUGUGAGGGUCACUCCCUACAAGUCGACACUCCGGAGUUAGCCUACGCGACUUAUGUUCGCUCGUGCGGUAUUGAGAAGCCUACGGGGUCGAGUGGGACAGACACAUUCCAAGAGUAGGAAUGUCGGGCUACCACAGGCACUUAGGCGGCACAAGCUGGACUACCUUGGGUAGGCCCUUAUUUGGAAAUAAAAAUCGACACAGUGUUGAGUGUGUUAUAAUCACUACUAGAUAGAGAUUAGUAGUUGGAUUACUUGGACUUACUUCUAGCAUAGUUUUGGACACUUGAGUACACAUACGUACAUGUAGUAUGCUAGGAGAUGUUGCUUAUUGCAUUCAUAUAUACAUUGUUGCCAUGAUAAAGCAUGAUCCUUAUAACUUCAUAAGUGAACUGUGACAUUUACUUGUAGCCAUGUAGAGACAUAUUGGUUAUGACAAAGUAAAGGUGCAUUAUUUUUUAACACCAUGCUUAAUUGCAAUAUAGUAGCUUAGCAUUUUAAUUAUGCUCUCAUAAAUACAGUUUAUUCGUUAUUAUUGCUGUUUGCCAUACUUACCCUUUUCUUUUGGGGCCUAGUGGUGCAUUGAGCUGAGGUCAGUAAUUGCCCACUGGGAACUAUAAUUUAUAGUUCUCACGCCCUCUAUUCUAUGUUUUCUUUCAGAGCCUUCCACGCCGGGAGAGUCUAGGGACCGUGGGAAGGGCAUUGCUUCGAGAUAGCUCUUUAGCGAGGGACGAGUUGCUAGGUGGUCUACCUCUCGAUAUAUUUUAUUUUGGGAGAGGUUGAGAGCUGUACCAGUGAACUAGAGACCACCCUUUGUGUACUUUUGGAACAGAUAUUGUACUACCUUAUGGUUUACUUUUAUUGUUUAGUUGUAUCAUUUUACUUUUGUUAUAGAAAGUAGAAUCUUACUGCUCUGAUAUCAUUAGUUUUUACUCUUUCCUUUCGGCUAUGUUUCUUGCUUUAUUUCCGCUGUUGAUGUAGACGUCUUAUAUGUGUUGGCAUAUGGCGGGUCUAGGCACACUUCCGGGAGGGCCUCUGCCGGUCCCGGGGCGUGACAGUCAUUUCCUUUUGUUGAUUUUAGAGCCAUCCCGAGGCGUGACAGUCAUUUCCUCUGACGAAUUAGAAGGAAAAGUCAUCUCAUACGUUUGAAGUGCACCUACUAAUUCUUCUACCUUAAGUUCAUCCGGAUGUUUUACCGUUUCAAUAGCCGCAACCUUUGGACGAAAUCGUUCGGGAAGAGUUCUCAAAAUUUUUCUCACAAUUUUAGAGUCCGAAAUUUUCUCGCCUAAGUUAGCACACGUGUUUACAAUGCCUUGCAAACGAGUAUAAUACUCGGUAAAAGAUUCAUGUUCUUCUAUACGAAUAGAGUCAAAUAUACUUGUAAGCAUUUGUAAUUUUUGAAUCUUUACCAAACUUGUACCCUCGUGUGUAACUUGUAAAGUGUUCCAAAUUUCUUUGCGGUUUCACACGCCGAGACACGAGAAAAUUCGGUUUUAUUUAAAGCAUUAAAUAAAGCAUUGAUACCCUUUCCGUUGAACGAAGAUAGUUCGUUUUCCUCUUUCGUCCACUUAUUUUUAGGUUUCGGACCGGUAACAUUCUCGACAACUUCGGUGGGAUGUUUCCAUCCGAAUUCAAUGGCUUGUCAUACCCGCUCGUCGAUGGCAAUAAGAAACGUCCUCAUACGGACUUUCCAAUAAGCGUAAUUUGUGCCAUCGAAGAGAGGGGGUCGAUUAAUGUUACCGCCCUCGGCCAUGAUUUACAACCUAUACCCGCUCUGAUACCACUUGUAAGAUAUGGAUCCCGAGGAUCUAAAAGGUAAAUAAUACCUAGAGAGGGGUGAAUAGGUGUAAAACGGCGAAAACAAAAAACUCUCGAUGCAAAUAAAAGAGAUAGCGGAAAAUAAAAACAGCACACCGAGAUUUUAACGUGGGAAAACUCCAAUCCGGAGUGAAAAACCCACGGGACCGAUCACGCGAAAAAAAUUCACUAAGAAAACUUGAGUACAAGUGAUUUAACCAAAAUACAUGACUCAAUUUACCGAAUUUUCGUUGUUGAUGGUCUUCGCUGGUCCUCGAUCGAUAGGAAUCCUCCAAUCGACCUCGCCGCAACUCCUUGCUGCAUCAACGCCUCAACUCCUCGAAGCGUCCACCGAAUCCUCGGCUUCACGCGAGAUCUACGCGCCGAACCUCCUUCCGGAGUUUGUAUAAUUGAUGAUUCGUGGUGAUUAAGACUUAAAAUCCCAUAAGCAAUGAGGGUUCACCUUCUAAUCAAACAUCUACUUGAUUCUCAAAGAAUAUUUCUAGUUAAAAUCGAAGAAUCAAGUCGAUCGUUGAUUAUAUGAAACUUGUUAUAUGAAUAAAAUCAUAAGAAUGUGAAAACAAGUUUCUAGGGUUUUAGAACAGUAGAAAUUCAAAACCUUAACCCAUAUGAUAACCCCCAUGGCUUAUUUAUAGGUUUAGAAGACUUAGAAGUAGACUAGGAUUGCAAAAAGUCUAUUUUAAAAACUGGUGUCGUCCUUAGGGACCGGUCCCCUCGAGGAGACCGGUCUUUGGGAGACCGGUCCCUCGCUGCGUGACAGAAAACACAACGUUCGGGAACCGGUCUCUCAUGCAAGAGACAGGUCCUUCGCUGCGUGACAGAAAAUCCCAUGUUCGGGAACCGGUCUCCCUUUCCAGAGACCGGUUGCCUCAAUAUCCCACGCAGUGAGGACCCUCGGGGACCGGUCUCUCAACUUUGGGACCGGUCCCAGAACACUGAAAAGUUCAGUUUAAGUGUUUUAAAGCAACCUAAGUCUUCUGAACUUAUUGUAAUUAGAUAAAUUCACGACAAAUGAUCUAUUCUUCAUACCUGAGAUGCCAAGCUUUCCAAAUGAGUCUUUGCUCUUCAAAUUGAAUCUUCUCUUCAAACUACCGCGAUCAACUCUUCAAGACUCCAUUUGACUUUACGAAAUCCGCCAACCUAGAAAAUCCUUAACAGUUCACCAAUGCAUUGUUUAGAAGAGUACAUAGAGCGGCGGCGUGAAGAGACGUCCUGAAUAGAGUAUCGAGGAGGCUCAGAGACGGGCUCUCUAAUCUCAAAACCACCUGACUUCCGUCGACCUCCUUUUGUCCGUUGCCUUACCUUUUCCUUUGUCAACACCUUUUUCUUUGCCCUUUCCUUUUCCUUUCUCGUUAUCCUUUUCUGCAGCUACGGGCGCUUUACCUUUUUUCUUUGAAAGCACUUCCGGUGUAAGUGCUUCCCAAUCAGGUUCCUUAGCUUUAGAUUCUUCGCCCUCUUCGCCCGGCACAUACUCACUACCCUCAUCGUCCGGUUGUUGCUCAACCGGUUGUUUAGCCAAUGAACGUUGACGUUUGCUUCUACAACCACUACCGGCCAUAAGAAAAAUAAUCACGAGUAGGCAGGAAUACAUGUUUAAAUGGCACCUGUUACACACAAUAAUGUACACAUAUUGAACAUAAGAACAAUUGAUUUUUGAUUUCAAAAACAUUAGCAAAUUGAUAUGCAAUAUGCUAGGUGAUCCGAGGGCCAUAUAAUCAUAAAAAUCAUGAACAAAUCAUGCAACAAAAAUCAGUAAAAUCACAUAUUUUCGAAACAAUUGAAAAACUAAGGUUUUGAUGGUGAAAACUAGCAAAAUCGGGCAAAUCCAUGAAAUAAAUCAUGCAAUAAUGUAUGAGAAUCCUAGAAAAACAUGUCUAGAGUUAAGAGUAUAACAAUAUGAAGAGAUUCAACAAGAUUUCUAGAUCAAACACCAAAAACACAUUUUUCGGAAUACAUUGUUAGAACGAAAUAAAAUCCGAAGAUCUUACCAAAAACAAGUGUAAAUUGAUGGAGAAAGGAAGCAAAAUCACCCUGGGGAAGUUGGAAGCUUGUGGGAGAAGUUUGAGAGUAUUUGAGAAAGUGUACAGGUUGAUCGAACCGAAACCCUUAAAUCGGGUUCGGGCGGAGGGACUGGUCUCUCCAGCCAGGGACCGGUCCCAGAGCCUGGAUUUUCAAAAGAAAUUCUAUUUUAAGUUUAAAUUUUUCAGAAAUUUUAUAUGUUAUUCCAAAAUGUCCAACAUAAAAAAUAAUCAAUUUCUAUUCCCCAAUGACCUCGAAUAAAAUUUCAUAAAUAAAUUUUGAAAAAUCAAUUUCCAGGAUAUUCAAUUUGUCAAAAAUUGUUGACUCGAAAAUCAAAUAAAAUUCUUGAUAAGUAUAAAAUAAAAUUCCACACAUCAUGUAAGACCUAAAUAUUAAUUGUAUUAUUUUAUCAUCAUAUUUGUUAAAAAAAAUGAAUAAAUAAAUCUCAUAAUCGUGAAAUUAAAAUAAUACCCUCAAAUUGAGUUAUGCACAUUAUUCGAGAUAGGAGUGGUUCUUUGAGCAUCUUUUGACAAACCACCUAAUAUCGCCUAGGAGAUGUAUUAAAAAUAUUAUUAGAAUUGUACCAUCUUCACAAAAUCUCAUAUUUAUUUAUUCUUUAUUUCCUUUCUAUCUCAAGGAUAUACUUUGAUCAUCAUGUGGUAGCUGCACACACUGACCGGACGACCGGGUGGGUAGCUCUUUCCUUCAUAUGGUGGUAGUUUUCACACUCCCAACAGGGAUGUAACUCUUUCCACAUCUUUUGAAUUUAAGAAAUUUCCAUAACCAUAAUCGGAAAGACUCCCCCUAAAUUAGUGCAACCCUCAAGUCAAAAAUAUUAUCGCAAUUUCAAAAACAGAGAAAUAGUUAUUCAUCUCAUAGCUAAUAAUCAAACAAAACAAUUGCAACGUUCAAAGUUCGAAGCAUGAGGUGUUGAAUUUAACUCAGUAUACUAAAACAGAAUUUCAAUAAUUUAAUCGUUCAAAAAUUAUGACAAAAGAGAAUAACAUUGACGGUGAUCAAUCAAAACAUAAUAUGAAACAAUUAAAGUCAUAUGAUAGAGCUCACAAAAACCAAUUUAUCUCCCAAAAACAUAACAUUAACAGUGACACCAUUCAUGAAACUCAAUCAUCUCUCAAGAAUAAUCAGGGAAAACCGAAAAACAUGCACAGAAGCAAAAUGCAGUAUGCACAUGAUUUAUGGCCCAUAGAAUGCAUCUAGAGAGAAGGAUUCAUACCAAUAGCCUUUCUUAAAUGUAGAAAAUGUUUUUGAUCCAAAGGCUUAGUAAAAAUAUCUGCAAGUUGAUUUUCAGUUGAAAUAUAUUCAAGUUGAAGAACUUUUGAUUCAAUCAAUUCUCUUAAAAAGUGAUAUCUUAGUUCAAUAUGCUUUGUUCGUGAAUGUAAAACAGGAUUUUUUGAAAUAUUAAUGGCACUCGUGUUGUAACAUAGAAUUGUAAAAGUGGUGGAGGAGAUUCGAUAAUCACUCAAUAAGCUUUUCAUCCAUAGUAAUUGUGUAGAGCAACUACGGCCGCAAUGUAUUCCGCCUCGGCAGUGGAGAGUGCAAUACAGUUUUUUUUUUUUUUUACUAUGCCAUGCAACUAGACAGUGGCCUAUAUAAAAGCAUGCUCCACUUGUGCUUUUUCGAUCAUCCCCAGAAUCGGCCCAAUCCGCAUCCGAGUAGCCAAUUAAAUCCAAAGACGUCCCCAUCGGAUACCAUAGACCAUAAUCGGUUGUACCUUUAAUAUAUCGUAUGAUUCUCUUAACCGCUUUCAAAUGAACUUCUUUUGGAUUAGCUUGAUAGCGAGCACAAAUUUCCACACUAAAAGCAAUGUCCGGUCUACUCGCGGUCAAAUACAGUAAACUGCCGAUCAUGCUCCUAUACUAUUUUUCAUCCACACUUUGUCCUUAACAUUCACUCCAAAUCCUUUGUUACUUGUUCCCAUCGGUGUAUCAAAGUUCUUUGCUCCAUCCAAACCGAAUUUCUUAACCAAUUCCUUUGCAUUCUUGGUUUGAGACAAAUGAAUUCUUCCUUUGAUUGUUUAACUUAAAGACCAAGGAAAUAUGAAAGCUCACCCAUCAUAGACAUCUCGAACUCACUAGUUAUCAACUUUGCAAAUUCGGCGGCAACGGUAUCUUUAGUUGCGCCAAAGACAAUGUCAUCCACAUAAAUUUGUGCCACAAUAAAGUCAUUUUUAGUGCGUUUUACAAAAAGAGUUCUAUCCGCUCCCCCUCGGUUGUAUCUCUUUUCUAAAAGAUAUUUUGUUAAUCGUUCAUACCAUGCUCGCGGUGCUUGUUUAAGUCCAUAAAGUGCUUUUUUAAGACGAAAAAUAUGAUUUGAAAAUUUAGAAUCUAUAAAACCUUUUGGUUGUUCCACAUAAACUUCCUCUUUUAAAAAAUCAUUCAAAAAUGCACUUUUAACAUCCAUUUGAAAAAGAGUAAUUUUAAAAUGACAAUCUAUCGCGAACAAAAUACGAAUAGAUUCAAGACGAGCAACCGGGGCGAAUGUUUCAUCAAAAUCAAUCCCCUCAAUUUGUGAAUACCUUUGAGCAACAAGUCUAGCUUUGUUUCGAACAAUUAUACAAUCCUCAUUUUUCUUAUUUUUCAAAAUCCAUUUAGUACCAAUAACAUUUUGUUGCUCAGGGCGUGGCACUAAUUCCCAUACAUCAUUGCGGGUAAAUUGACCAAGUUCUUCUUGCAUGGCAUUUAUCCAAUAUUCAUCACGAAGAGCUUCGUCAAUAUUCUUUGGCUCAAUUAGAGAUACAUAAUAUGCAAAUUCACAUUGAAGUUGACUUCUAGUUCGCACACCAACAUUAGGAUCCCCAAUGACAUUCGAUAAGGGGUGAUCUCUUGACUCUCUCAGGGGAGUAGUCUCAGAUGAUAUACUAGGUAUUUCAGAUGAGAUGCUUUGAGGCUCAGAUGAAUCAUUUGAUGCAACAAUUUCAGGAGAUGCAAUGAGAUUAUCAAAUACAGAAACAUUAUCAUUCAUAGGCAAUACAAACGGAGAAUCAUUAUCAUCAUCAUUCAUCAAAAAAUUAGAAGAACCAUUCACAGAAGUACUUACAGAAAAAGCUUCAUCUACUUUUAUGUUUAUAGAUUCUAUCACCGUCUUAGUUCGUAAAUUGUACGCACGAUAAGCACGACUUAUAGUAGAAUAACCAAGAAAGAGCCCCUCGUCACUUCGGGAGUCAAAUUUUUCAAGAUUUUCACGAUCCCGAAGGAUAAAACGCUUACUCCCGAAGACACGAAAGUAUUUAAUAUUAGGUUUCCUACCAAGCCAAAGUUCAUACGGAGUAUUCAAAGUACCCGGACGCACAUAAAUCUGAUUGAUAACAUAGACGGCCGUGUUAACCGCUUCGGCCCAAAAAUGUAAAGCAAUUUUCUUACUAUGAAGCAUAACACGUACCAUCUCUUGUACAACCCGAUUUUUGCGUUCUACCACUCCGUUUUGUUGCGGUGUAUAAGGAGCCGAGAAUUCAUGUUUAAUCCCAUUAGAAACACAAAAAUCAAUAAUUUUUGAAUUUAUGAAUUCUCCCCCUUGAUCACUUCGAAUACGUACAAUUUUAUCGUUACGCUCAUUCAUAAGACGAAGACAAAUCUCAAAAAAAGAGUAAAAAGUAUCGGCUUUUUCACGUAAGAAAGCAUUCCACGAAAAACGAGUAAAGUCAUCAACAAUAAGUAAUAUAUAGCGUUUGCCACCCAAACUUUGAAUCCUAGAAGGUCCCAUCAAGUCCUUGUGCAACAACUCUAAAGGUUUAGAUGUCCCUAAGUUGUUCAAAUUCUUAUGUGCGGAUCUAGUUUGCUUUCCCAGUUGACAACCCCCACACUUAGUGUUCUCUUUGAAAUCUAUCUUAGGUACACCUCUAACAAUUUUCUUCUUCGAUAAUUUUGAUAGUUCCUUGAAGUUUAUGUGGCCUAGUCGUUCAUGCCAUAAAGUUUCAGUCUCUAAUGUCGCUAUGUUACACUUUUACACUUUUCAGAUGAAGCACUAGGAACUACAUAACAAUUAUUCUGAGAUCUUACACCUUUUAAGAAAAGAUAAUCAUCGCGAGUUACAUUGCAUUCUUUAUCAGAAAAUUUCAUAGAAUACCCAUCAUCACACAAUUGGCUUAUACUUACGAGAUUUGAUUUAAGCCCCUUAACAUAAAAAAUAUCAUUCAAAGUAGGGCCAUCUGAGAUUGUAACUGUUCCUUUUCCGAUGAUUUUUGAUGACCGACCGUCUCCAAAAACAACAAGUCCUCCGGAGAUUUUAUUUAAAGAAGUAAACCAAUUUUUAUCACCGGUCAUGUGAGGGGAACAACAACUAUCCAGAUACCAAGAAGUAUUAUCGUAAGCAUGAAGCGAAGUGUGAAUGACAAGGCAUGGGAAGAGUUCACCUUUGCGCACCCAGACCUUACGUGUUUUGGGUUGCGACGACUGACUUGCUUUUGGUGAUCGUGGCUUGUCGACGAUUUGAGUUUACUUCUUCUUCAGAUCCUCCUUCUUUGGCUUCCAUGCUUAUUUUGCCUUUGAUUUCGGAGCAUUCUUCUUUGGUGUCCACGUUUGUUUCUUCUUAUGAUCAUCCUUUUUUGGAGUCCAAGUUGACUUCGAUUUUGGUUUAGGAUCAUUCUUCAUUGACUUUAAUAAUGUUCUUUGAUUCAAGGGUGUUGUAGAGCUCUUACCCUUUUGUUUGCAAAACCUUUUCACAUGUCCUAAAACACCACAAAGAUGACAAGUUUUGUUAGCCAAUGUAUUUUUAGGAGGGACAAACUUACCAUAAAGCUUAGGAACCGCUUUUGUCGAAUAUUCGUCAUCUUUCUUCAUUGCUUGAUCAAUAUACGUCCGUUCGUAUCCAAGUCCAAAUUUAUUUGUUUGACCAAGUCCGAGCAUCUUGUCAAAUUUGCUAGAGCUAGACAAAAAUUGAUUUAAAACCGAUUUGAGUUGGAUAAUAGUCUUGGUGAAUUCCAUAUUUGCUUCUCUAGCUUCCGAGUAUUGCUUGGUAAGAAAAUUGAUGUUUUCAACAUGAGACUCCUUUUUCUUUUCAAGUAAUGUACACUUCUCAAAUAAAGAAUCGUAAGCCUUAGUCAAACCAUAUCUUUCUUGUUCUAGAUCCUUUGUCAACGAGUCCAAUCUCGAAUUCUCUUGUUCCAAGUCAUGUAGUCUCCGCCGCAGCUUUUUGUUAUGUUUUGCCAUCUUCUUCGACUCGACAACCAAUUGAUGAUAUGCGGAAACCAUAUCAUCUUCAUCUGAUUCUUCAUCCGAUGAGUUCUCCGACGUAGAUUUCUCAUGCAAAGAGACAUAGAGAUAGAGUCAGUGGAUGCCAAACACAUAAAAUUAGAAUCAUGUGCAAUAAGCGCCGUAACGUUUACAUCCUCAUCACUUGAAGAUGACUUAUUCGAGGAUGAAUCAUCCUAAGUGAUGGCUUGCAUCACUUUCUUUUUCAAAGAUUUUUUAUUAGGGCAAUCCGAUGCAAUAUGACCAAAUCCUCUACACUUAUAGCAUUGGAUUUGACCUUCAUUACUUUUCUUCUCUUCAGAAAAAUCUUUUGAAGAGCUUUCGGAUUUUUUAUUCUUAGAAAAAGAAUAUGAAGACGAACUCCCUUUAGAUUUGCUUGACUUCGAGGAAGUAGACUGGAGGAAACUUCUUUCUAAAGUUUCGAUGGAACUUCUUCGUUAGAAGAGCCAAUUGUUUCUCAAACUCCUCCAAUGUUUGAUCCGAUUCCGAGUCCGAUGAAGUAGUCAUGUCAUCUCCUUUUGUUGAUUUUAAGGCCAUACUUGAAGUUUUAGAAGAAGACUUGGAAGAAGACGAAUUAGAAGGAAAAGUAAUCUCAUAAGUUUGAAGUGCACCAACUAAUUCCUCUACUUUUAAUUCAUCCGGAUGUUUUACCAUUUCAAUAGCCGCAACCUUUGGACGAAAUCGUUCGGGAAGGGUUCUCAAAAUUUUUCUAACAAUUUUAGAGUCCGGAAUUUUCUCGCCUAAGUUAGCACACGUGUUUACAAUAUCUUGCAAACGAGUAUAAUACUCGGUAAAGGAUUCAUGUUCUUCCAUACGAAUAGAAUCAAAUCUACUUGUAAGCAUUUGUAAUUUUUGAAUCUUUACCAAGCUUGUACCCUCGUGUGUAACUUGUAAAGUGUCCCAAAUUUUUUUGGCGGUUUGACACACCAAGACACGAGAAAAUUCGGUUUGAUUUAAAGCAUUAAAUAAAGUAUUGAUACCCUUUCCGUUGAACGAAGAUAGUUCGUUUUCCUAUUUCGUCCAUUUAUUUCUAGGUUUCGUACCAGUAACAUUCUUGACAACUUUGGUGGGAUGUUUCCACCCGAAUUCAAUGGCUUGCCAUACCCGUUCGUCGAUGGCAAUAAGAAGCGCCGUCAUACGGACUUUCCAAUAAGCGUAAUUAGUGCCAUCGAAGAGAGGGGAUCGAUUGAUGUUACCGCCCUCGGCCAUGAUUUACAAUAUAUACUCGCUCUGAUACCACUUGAAAGAUAUGGGUCCCAAGGAUCUAAAAGGUAAAUAACACCUAGAGGGGGGUGAAUAGGUGUAAAUGGCAAAAACCAAACCUCUCGAUGCGAAUAAAAGAGAUAGCGGAAAAUAAAAAAUAACACACCGAGAUUUAACGUGGGAAAACUCCAAUCCGGAGUGAAAAACCCACGGGACCGAUCACACAAAGAAAAUCCACUAAGAAAACUCGAGUACAAGUGAUUUAAUCAAAAUACAUGACUCAAUUUACCGAAUUCUAGUUGUCGAUUAUCUUCAUCCUCGAUCGAUAGGAAUCCUCCAAUCGACCCCGCCGUAAUUCCUUGCUGCGUCAACGCUUCAACUCCUCGAAACGUCCACCGAAUCAUCGGCUUCACGCGAGAUCCACGCGCCGAACCUCCUUCCGGAGCUCAUAGAAUUGAUGAUUUGUGGUGAUUAAGACUUAAAAUACCAUAAGCAAUGAGGGUUCAUCUUCUAAUCAAUCAUCUACUUAAUUCUCGAAGAAAAUCUCGAGUUAAAACUUAAGAAUCAAGUCGAUCAUUGAUUAUAUGAAACUCGUUAUAUGAAUAAAAUCAUAAGAACAUGAAAACAAGUUUCUAGUGUUUUUGAACAGUAGAAAUUCUAAGCCUCAACUCAUAUGAUGACCCCCAUGGCUUAUUUAUAGGUUUAGAAGACUUAGAAGUGGACUAGAAUUGCAAAAAGUCUAUUUUAAAAACUGGUGUCGUCCUUAGGGACCAGUCUUCUCGAGGAGACCGAUUUGUUAGAGACCGGUCCCUCGGGUGGGAGACCGGUCCCUCGCUGCGUGACAGAAAACACAACGUUCGGGAACCGAUCUUUCGUGCCAGAGACCGGUCUCUCCCUGCGAGUCAAAAAUUCCAACGUUGGGGAACCGGUCUCUUGUGCCAGAGACCGGUUGCCACGUCCUAGAGACCGGUCCCUCAGAUCAGGAGACCGGUUGCCUUGGACUUUCACGCAGAGAGGACUCUCGGGAAUCGGUCUCUCAUCUCAGAGGACCGGUCCCAGCACAUCGAAAACUUCAGUUUGUGUUUUCUAUAGCAAUCCAAGUCUUCUAAACUUAUAUUUAGGUAGUUUAAACACACUACAAAUAAUCUAACAUUCAUACCUGAGGUGUCGAGCUUUCCGAAUAGGUCUUUAAUUCUUCAAAGUGAAUCUUCUCUUCAAACCUCCACGAUCAACUCUUCAAGACUCCAUUCAACUUCACGAAAUCCGCCAACCUAGAAAAUCCUUAACAUAGUGACACCUAACAUAACCACAAUCCACCAGUGACACUUAGCAGUAUAUAGUGAAAAUCCAACAUAACCAAAUAACAGAAUCUAUAGGUACAGUUAGUAUGUGAUAUAAUCCUUCUAUUGUAAGUUCCAACACAGUGAAGAUUAUGGUAGUUCGUCAAAUCCCAUCACGGGUCAUAUGUAAAAUUUAUUUGACCUUAACUUAUAUGGUUUUUCCGAAAAUUUAUUUAUAUAUGAUAUACCAUUCUUACUCUAGCCAAAGAUUUCAUGAGCUAAGUCUCAUAAAUCAUAUAGGAUACUAAGGACAACAACUUCUUUUGAAUACUCUCCCACUACUACUAUAAACCUGCCAUAGCCAACAUGCACUACUAGAAAAUGAUAGCUAAUCUCCGGGAUAUUGUGCAGUCAGUCUACAACGACCCUAUCAGUGACUAGCCGAUUGAGGUGCUGCAAGUCGAAGAAUCAAACACAUAACUGCAUCACCAAGAACAUCACUGACGAGUAAGUAGAUUACCAUGUGACUUCUUGUGUUGGUCAAGUUCGGUAACAUUGUUCUUAACAACCACCUGCACUUUAGCUCUAGUGUCUCCACACUAUAGACUUGAGACUCUACCAAAAGAAAGCUUGUAGUGCACCAAUCUCAGUGGAUGCACCAUUGUCCCCGUAGUGAUCUAUCAAUCAGGAGCCUUUAGGAAUUAACCAUCAAUGACACAUGCCCCAGAUUCUCAGCUCCUGAGAAUAUGUACCAUAAUCUUGUUAAUCCUUGGAUGAUUCACGAAUAGAAUAAAAAACCUCAAUAUAUAUAUGUGUGUGUGUGUGUAGAGUCCCUGGUGUUCUGCAGCUCGUGGGUUUCAGCAUCGAAGGCUUGUUGACAUAUCUGGAGAGUGUCGAGACAAAUCGGAGUCGUUUUGGGCAAAAUGGACGCAAAACAGCCUCGACGCGAGGCGAGAGUGGAUUCUGAUGCUGAAAUCCGCAAAGUGCAGGAUUUCAGUGUUGAGUAUCGGUACCAAGCAGGGGAGUACCGAUACCCCAGUGUAAUUCCAGAACAAAAUGCUCUCGGGUUGCGCUAAUCUGAUGCUGAGUACCGGUACGGCAUCAGGCUGGUACCGGUACCUUGUGUGCAAGCUUGCGGGCUGAGAGGCCGAGUACCGGUAAACAAAUUGGGUACCGGUACUCCAGCUGGAUUUGUGAGUUCGUGAGGGGCCUUUUAGUCAUUUGAAGUGGCAUUAAUCUCAACCUUAUCCCACCUCUUUAUAUAUGUGUAGAGAGACAGAGAAUGAGCUUUUGGUUGCUGCUUCCUCUCUCUCUAGUUUGGAGACAUCGCUCGUGGUGAAGUCACGGCUCAAGCUCGGGUAGACUUCGACGUUGCACCGGGGAGCCGUUCGACCGUGCGAGCGUCGUGGUUGCAUCGUUGGGAGGCCGGGCGAGCGCGUGGUUUCCUCUCCUUUCGACUUCUCGCCGUAGUUGGACUAGCAUGUCGAGAUGGGUUAAUGUUUAUCGAAAUCGUCGGAGCUCCUCCUAAGUUUUAGCAUCGUCGACAUGUAUCAUUGGUUUAUUUCCUUAUUAGUACUCGAAUUCAUGGAUUAGAAUAUAAAAUCUGAAUUUGGAGUUAAGAUAGAAUUAUAAUUUUACAUGUUGGACUUGGAAUUGACUUAGGAGAAAACUAUUGAAUCAUACACUAUCAUUUCAAAAAAUUACCAGAUUUAGCUUUAUGAGCUGUGGUUCGUUUGUAUCGCCGCUGUUCAUAUGCGAUGGAUACCCAGAUGAGUGUAGGAUGAGUUUACGCUCGUGCUGGGAUGCCAGUUUAUUUUACAGUAGUGUGUAGACUGUUUUAGAUUGUCGGGUGCCGUCGCGGUUGAUGGUGGACCCAGAUUUCUGUGUUUUGCCUCAGAUUGUGCCAAGGGCACGUGAGCUUUGGUUGUUAGACCAGUUAGACUCAUUUGCAUUGACUAUAGCCUGUGAGAGUCUGAUUGAGCUCGACAGAGACACGCUUGCAUACUCGGUUGGGUCGCGCCCACGAGUGCCGCUCCAGAGUUUGGCUACGUGCUUUUGCGUUGAUGUCGUAGUGUCCAGUUAGGGCUUUGCUCUCCACCAGCAGCCCUCAGGGUGGUGUGCAGUGUAGCUUCAACAGGCGGGAUGGGUGCGUUCAUAGUCCCUAGUGAGUUUGGGUCAGAGAUUGCAUUUUUGUCAUAUCUACAGAUAGCCAGUGUUGGUUAGCGAUAGUAUAGUGGCAUCUAGCUGUAAGGUUUCCAGCUUUCCUUACUAUCUCUUACGCACUUUUCUGCAGACUUAGUGGGUGAGCCGUUGAGGUUGGUGACAGUACCCAUUGAGGACUACUUCUUUUUGCAGUAGUUCUUACACCCAGUUGUUUACCCUUUUUGCAGAGCCUUUAUCCGCGGCUGCUGCUGACGCUGUUUCUGAUCGUGGAAAGGGAGUCGGGAGCUAGAUCCUUUCCCUAGUUGCUGUGCUAGAGGGGUACCUUCCACAGGUAGUUUUGGGGCUUUUUGUACAUAUGGUCUUGUUGUCUGGGUACUUGCUGGAGCGAGUGGUGUAGUAGAUAUUUUGUAUGUACUGGAACCCCUCGAGGUUUUAUAUAUAUGUUUUCAGUUUAGUACCUCUUACCUCGUGGUUGUAGCUUGUUUGGUUUACAGGUACAACUAUCGUUUCGUAUACAGGGGAAAAUUCUAUGUAUGCGGCGGGUCUGUUGGCGUGCCCGGGGAAACAUGUAAUCCGGAGCAUGACAGUGUGUGUGUGUGUGUGUGUGUGUGUGUGUGUGCAGUACAAUCAUAUAACCAAUGGUAUAAUGUGCAUCGGCCUAUCGGCUACUAGGGCAUAGUACUAAAAAUCUCUCACUUGCACUAGAACCAAUCAGCCAAAUAUCUAAGAUCCACAUUCUCAAAGUGAGUAUCAAGCUUCUGCUGAUUAAGCAUUUUAGUUAGCAGGUCUACAACAUUAUCUGUAGAAGCUACUUUUUGCACCAUAAUAUACUUUUUGUCAUCAACUUAGUUGCGUAUGAUGUGUAAUAUAUACUAAACUUCAGUAUACCGUACUAAACUUUGGCCAAACUGUGCAAAAUAUAGUUAAAAAGUAAUUAUGGACAUGUUUGGAGAUGAGUUCCGAGAGUUUCGGAACAAUUGGAAGUGAGUUGGAGCUCUACGGAGCGAAACAGAAAUUUCAAGACAAAGCCCUUUUGGGCCAUCAAACUUUCAGGAUCCAAAGCUUGACUUAAGGAUUUAGACCUUGAUAUUUUUGUACAAAUGUAGUGUAUCAAAGUCUGGACCCAAAGGGAGGAUCCGAAUGUUUGCUGCGAAAAUGCUGAAAUCCAGCUUCAGGAUCCAAACCCUUGGAGCUGUCCGGACCUUGCCUGCACAGUCUGAGGACAAGGUUCAGGAUCUUGACCCUACCAGAGGAUACAUGUAAAGAAGUAAAUUCUCGAAAUCCGAGGAUUAGACUUCGUUUAGAAUCGACUAAUUGUCGAGGGAAUAAGCUUCGGAAAGUCCGGAGGUGAUUAAAAUGCAUGAAGUGCAUUAAGGAAGAGUCCGCGAGAGCAGCAGUGCAAAAUCUGCACUGGAGCAGAAUUGCUCUCGGGGACGGUCCCUGGCAGGGAAGGACCGAUCCCAUCAGGCUGGGCUGGCGGGGAUCCUUGAUGCAACCGGUCUCUGGCAGGGAAGGACCAAUCCCCGAACGUUAACCCAGCGAGAAAGGCCGAAAUUUGGCUAAGUCCCGAAAAUCCAACUCUCGGGAACCAGUCUCUCGGACAAGGACCGGUCUCCCGGGGGCUGGUCUCUCAGGCGGGGACCGGUUCCCGAACGCGAAACUCCCUCUGCCCGAGAUGGAAGGCUCUCGGGGACCGGUCUCCCCGACCUGGGACCGGUCCCCCGCUACGAAAUCAGCCCAGUGAAGGCUAUUUAAUAGAUGGAAAGUUGAGGGGCCUAUUUGUAAAAUGGCCUAUAUGAAGGUGGAGGACCUCUCUCUCUCUCUCAUUUGUCUCAUUUGCCCUCUUUUUCUCUCCCUUCCUCUCUCUAGAACAAAAGGACAAGACGAAGAGAAGAAGGAGAAGAGGGGAAAGAAGAAAGAGGAGAAAAAGGAGUUAAAGGGGAAGACUAAGAAGAGGAAAAGAUCACCUUUCUCUCUCUCUCCCUCAAGCUAGAACAAGCUUGGAGCUUGGUAUAGAGGUAAGCUCCAAACCCAUCCAUGGUGGAUUUCUUGAGAUUGGGUUUUAUUGCUUAGAGGUGGUUCGAAUGGAACCUAGAGGAGAUAAAUAGAUGGUUCUAGCAGCGGAUUCGAAGCUCGAACCAUAGAUUUCUCCCUCAUUGCCAUUUUAGGGCACGUUUUGGGAUUUUUAGAAAUGUGAGGUCUUGAUCUAUUUCGACGGGUUGUGAACCUAAUUGCUAGGUCUCGGAACGCGCCGGCGAAGACGGUUCGUCGAUACGACGAGCGGGUGCGAAGAUAUCGCCGAAUCAAGCGCUUAAGGGUUCGAAUCGACCCGAGAAGCCGAAGCAUCGACCAAGGACUAUGAAGUCGAGUUUCUACCAUCGCGGCAUCACCAAAAAGGUGGGUGGUGACCAUCCCGAAGCAACUGGAUUCCCCUUUAUGUCUUAGUACCUUAAGAUCUUACAUCUUGUGUUUACAUGCAUUGUAGGAUAAUUGUGCAUUGCCUUUCCUUAUGCUUUCCCAGAUGAUAUCAUAUUAUGCAUUAGUUACUUGAUAUAGUGGAUUGAUGAGGAUUGGGUCGAGGCUUGUAAUCCUAUAGUGCAGAGGGAAAAGAAUGACGCAAUGGUUGAAAUAAGAGAACGAGUGGCAUCUAGUUGAUAAUGAACCAGAGAACGAGUGGCAUAUGUGAAUCUUAGUGUAGCUGAAACACUAGAUUGAUGAGUAUAGAAACUCAUUGGUUCUAUGUUGAUACUAUCCUUAGCUGAUAGGGUAUCCUCGAGUUGAGAGGAUUGGAUCAUACUCACUGUCUGUUCUUGACUUGUGAUGGUCGCUCCACACAAGUAGUGCGCUCCGGAGUUGGUCACGUGGGAUAGCCUAUUUGGGGUCCCGUGGGAUAGGGAUAGCCUAGUUGGUGUCCCGAGGGAUAGCCUAUGUGGGGUCCCGCAGACGGUCUCGGAUUCGUAGUUUGAGUUGAGUCUCCCUACGCGUCGAGAUGGCUAUGUGAGUAGUAGGUGAACCCUCGAGUGAGCCACGAGAUUGAUGAACAAGGAAAUAGCUUUAAUUCUUGGACAUAUGACGAACUAGUUGAUUACCUACUUCAUUGUGCAUGCAUUUUACAUAUACAUGAUUCGAGCAUAGUAGUGUAGCUUUACUAUUCUGUCAUCACAGCUUUACAUAUUUAUCUAUCUGUUUAUCUACUUGUGCCCACUUGGACCUAGUGGGGAGACCGCCGAAGUCGGCGACCGAACCCACUGGGAACUAUGGAAGAUAGUUCUCACCCUACUCUUUAUAGGUCCGAGUUCGAGUGUCCCCGGCAAGCGUGAGGAUCGUGGCAAGGGCAUAGCGCCCUAGUGGUAUAUGUACAUAGCUAGCUUUACUUCCUUUUGCAUUAGCUCUACCCUGUACUUAUGUUUGAGAGUAGAUGUUGUAUAGGGUGAGGUUUGAAAGUGCUUGUACAGAUGUUCUGCAAGAAUGUAAAAGAUGAAAUUAAAUAUAUUAAGUUGAAUGAAUGUAAUAGAUAGAACCUUCUCUCUUUACUUACUGGUUUGUCUCAUACUCGUAUCUUGCUCUUAUCUGUUAGCACUGGUGGUGCUCCUUGUGAUCGUGUAUGUAUGAAUUGAUUCCUGGGUAAAUUCUUAUACAUGAUUAGUUUGCAUAGCCUUGGGCGGACAGGGGAGGUGCUGUCCGUUCGGCGUCUGUUUGACGCGCCCGAGCCGGACCGAAUUGGUUUUGGGGUCGCAGCGUGACAAUAUGGAUCCUUUAUGGGCUUAAAGUGCAAUUCAGGGGGUUUUAUACAAAUAUCGCUAAACCCUUUUAAAGGAGGACCAAGCCCUCUAGUCCCCAAUAUGAACACACACUCUUCUGACCCUCUCUCACUCUAUUCUCACUCUCUCUCUAGAAAUCUCUAAAAUAGUUGGAGAUUUGGAAACUUGAUCUUGGAGUUGGAAUGAAGUGCAAGCUUCCUAGAGCAAGAAGAAGGUUGGGGAGCUUUGAGUCAAGAUGAGUUUUUUAGGAUUAUAAGUUGGGGUUUUGGAUUUAGCCAUUAGAUUUGGGAUUUUAUCAAACCCUGGGCAAGUCUAGACCACAAGUGGUAAAGAUUUGCCAUGAGAUUUGGAUUCUGCUCUAAUUUUGAGGGAAUCCCUAGGGUAAUUGAAGUUUUGAAUUUUAAGGGUUUAAAAAUAUUUUGACCCUUUGGAACUCUAAUUGAAGGUUAGAGAAACACAUAGGAAACCUCAUUUCAAGGAACAAAAGGAUUUCGAUGAUCAAUUUGAAGUAACAAACAAAUUUUGGGCGUUUUUGGGCAAGAAAGCUUGGAAUCAAGCAAAUAGCCGACGAAAGCCUAAUUGCAAGUAUUUACAAGCAAUUAGGAGCAUGUUGAGGUGGGUCAUGCUCUACUGAAGUGAAUAAGUUACUUUCAUGUCUAGAGAGUAAAUAACUAAAUUAAGUUAUACAUGUUGCAUUAUAGUCUAAUUAUUAAAUAUGCAUGUAUGAGGCAUAUGUUACUUGGAAUGAUUUUACUAUUUAUGCAUGAGUAGAUGUGCAUGCAUGUGAUAUGUAUUAAGUUAGAAUAACUAAUUCUCUUUGAACAAGUAAAUGCAUGCAUUGUUAUAUUACAUUUUAUGUUAUGGACUAGAUGUAGGUUGGCAUUCUCUAGAGUUGGUAGAGAACUCAACACAUGAACAAUCAAAUACAUAGUGCCAUUGAACAAAGGCGGAAAACGUAGUGAUAGGAUGACCACUUGGACAUGAAUGACAUUAAAUCUAGAGAGGUUGACAACAUUGGGUGAAACAUAUGAAUCCUUGAUGAGACUAUGAAAGUGGUGAUUUUGCUACUUAUGUACUUGGGGCAAAAAAAAAAACAGGGACAACGAUUCCAUUUCCUAGCACCUAAUGAACGCGGCGAUUUUGUGGCUUAUGGACUUAUGGCUAAGUGGUGCCGCAAUUUCGUUACGUAAUGCAAAGAUGAAGGCGGCAAUUCUACAUGUCAUUGACUCAAGAUAGAGUUGGGUGACAUGAUUAGGAUAAUGAAGUUAGUGAGUAAAUGGUAGUUUACAUCACAUGAGUAGAUUUUAUUAUCAUGAGUGUAGGCAUAAGCAUGAUUACUUUUAAUUGCAUAUAGUAAAGAUUUAUAUACUUACGUGAUUAUCUAUUAUUUUCUAACUUAUGCUUAUGUUGCCUCCUUUAGACCUGAUGGGUUGAGCUUUUUCCUUGGGUGACUGUACCCACUAGCAACUAUGUUUAUAGUUCUCACCUUAUGUUUUUCAGGUCCAUUUACAGGCGACACGGCGGAGCGAAGGAAGGCCGUAGCACCAUAGAUAGUGGCCUUUCCACAUUUUGAGGUCUUUAUAGAUGUACCCUUUGUGGACAUGUAAUGAAAGAAAAAUAAAAAUUGUAAAGCUCAUUGUGAGAUUGUAUUGGGAAUUCAGAUGUAAACACAUGCAAUGAAACAUAUGAACGAAUAGAACCAUGUAAUAGAAAAUAGUUUACUUUCUGUUGUUAAUAUUCUCCUUAUGCAAUCCUUAUAUAUACUUCCUAGUUGGGAUGUGUGGUAAAUACAGAUUGUGACGCUUUGGGAGGCUAGGAGAAACUUUGUCUAUUCGAUAGGUCUAGUACUCGUGCUCGAUAGUGCUUCCAUUGCGGGCUCGGGGCGUGAAAGACUAAGGUGGUAUUAAAGAGUGGAAAUGAUCUAAAUGGACCAAGGAGACUGUAGUAUGGAUAACCUUUCGGACCUAGGCUCGUAAGAGAUGAGGACUUAUGAAACAUAGCAGAAGUUGAAUCAAUUGGUUCAAGUCGUUGUAUGACUCUAAUAGGAUGUUAGAGAUAGACUCAAGGUGUGGUUUAUUCUAAGCCAAGGAUGUUCAUGUUAGCGGCCAACAACAUAAAAUCAAAUGAUAGGAAUAAGCGCCUUUACAUAACUUUCAUAAAAUUUGAGUUUGUUAGUCGAACAUUAUUUUAUAUUUGGCCAUGAGAGUCAUGUUAUUGAUCAAGUUCACUGUGUUUCAGAAAGCGAUGAUGUAUGAAUGACCUACGACGAAGUCUAGGGCGAAAGAGCCAAGUAAGGACCCCGAGCAAUCUGAGGCAAGUGGCGAUAUGGAUCUCCGCGAACAAUUAGCUGUGCUCAUUAAGGUAUUGCAAUGGCAAGUGGAGACCGCACAACGUCAGAAGGAGUAGAUCAAAAGGUUCCAAGAGAUAGCGGCACAACAAAUGCCUAUCGCUAGGGUGAGCUAAGAGCAACAAGUGGCCCCAAUAUCAGUGUCUCGAAUAUAGUUGAGGGGGUAACUACGGCAGUCGUACUUGUAGCGGCACAUCCUACGCCAUCGGUAACCGCAAUAGAUUUGGGCACUUCUGUCCCCAAUCAUGUGGCGAUGGAGGCAUUGAGGGAGUGAGCAAUUUGGACUCUCAUGACCUUCAAAAAAUUCAAUUCGCCUAUCUUUGACGGAGAAACAAAGGAUCUAUGGGUCGUGAAGACGUGGAUCAACUCCAUGGAAAUCCUAUUUGAGGACCUAUACAGACAAAGUGCACUUAGCCGCACGUUACAUGGAAAAGUUGAUGGUGUAGCAGAAGGGUUCAAGCCAGACCGAUCUCCUAGUCUCCCUACGGUGUCAUGGGAGAAAUUCCGGAGGUUGGUAUUCUCUAUAUACUUCCCUGACAGUGAGAAGAGGAAGGUCCAAAAAAAUUUUCAAAAGUUGGAGCAAGAAAACCACACGAUAAAAAAGUAUGAGCAGGAAUUCUCUCACAUUGUCAACUAUAUCCCGUACGUAGUUCAGGAUGACAAAAGACAAGGCCUAUUGUUUCAAGUGCAUAUUUCGGCUUAAGGUUGUGUAUUACUCAAGUUGCAAACAUUUGCCAAAGUGUUGGAUUGGGCAUUGUGGGUGGAACAGGGCAAUGCUAUCAUGUAAGAGGAACGCAAAUCUUAGAUAAAGAGAAGGGGAAGAACCGACAGGCAAGUAGUUCGAGUGGUCAAUCGAGAUCUAAAUGACCACCGAAGCAUCUCCAAAUCACGAUCUCAAGCCCUAGAGUUGUUCACCACCCAAUCCUCGUUAAGGUGCGUCAUUUGUGAUGGCCCUUAUAAAUUGCAUCAAUAUGAACAGCGAGAGCGCAAGUUUUUUAAGUGUGGGCAGUCAGGACACAGGCAGUUUGAUUGCCUACAGGAUGAUGGUCGGUGUAACGUAUCAUUUCCUCAUAAAUCGUGCCGAGUUCCGUCGAAGCGAGCGGAGCGCGGAGUGGAUCGAGUUGAAACGGGUUCUGAGCGCAUUGGAACCUUGAUAUAGUGCAAAGGGACCCGAGAGAGUGAAACUGGAAAAUCUAGCCAAGUCCCAGAUUUUGGACUCUCGAGGACCAGUCCCUGAAGGAGAGACCGGUCCCCGUACACGUAGCCAGCCAAAAAGGGUAGAAAAUCGGCUAAGUCCCCUGCAGGGAGAGAUCGGUCCCUGUAAGCGAAAAUGGCCCCCAGUGGCUAAGUCCUGGAAAACCCACUCUCGGGGACCGGUCCCUGCGGGGAGAGACCGGUCCCCGUAUGCAAAAAAUGCCCAGUGAGGGCUGAUGUGAAAAAUGGAAUUAAGAGGGGCUUAAGUGCUAUUGUGACAUGGUGAAUGGUUAUAUGGGCUAGGGCUUGGGUGAGGGCUCAUUUGCUCUCACUCCAACACUAAAACCUUUCCCUCUCUCUCUCUAAAAAACCCUAUUUCUCUCCCUCCUUAUCUCUAGCGCUUGGAUCAAGGGAAGGAUUUGGAGGAGAAGAGCUUGGAGAAGAAGCUUCCUAAGGUGGUGGCUAGCUUGUGCAAGGCUUUUGAAGGAAAAGCUUGGACUCCAAGGUGAGUUUUCAAGGUUUUGAGUUAGGGUUUGAGUAAUAGCUUCUUGUAUGAGUAUCUAGGAGUUUCUAUGGUAGAUUUCCUCCAUGAAUAUGCAAGCUAGGGGCUUGUUUGGAGAAGAUGACAUUGUGGAGGGACCCAAAAUUAGGGUUUUGUAAUUUUAAGGUAAAAGCUUGGGCUUGAUCUCUUUUUAACCUAAUUAGUAGGUCAACGAAUGCGUUGGUGCGCUCGAUUUGGCGAUACGACGAGCGUAUGCGGAGAUAUUGAAGAAACAGGCUAAAUCGGUACAGAUCGUCGCAGCUUGCGGCGUAUAAGUCUAAAAAUCACGAAAAUUGAACUACGGCAUCCUAGUAUCACUAAGAGGUGGGGGGUGCUAUCCGAAAAUACGGAAUUUCCUUCUAUGUCUAUGUUACCAUUUUUGAGCAUAUUGAUGUUAGCAUUCAUGCAUAUAGGGUAACGUGAUGAAUAUGAUUGGUCGAGAUUCAAUUGUAUGCUAGAGAACAUAUGAAUUGAUAUAGAACCAUUUGAACUAAGAAUGUGAAAAACCCUAUGUGUAUGUGAAUGUAUGUAAAAAAGACUAUGACAGUAGUAAACAAUGGUAACAGUGACAUUAAUGACGAGAUUGGCACCGAGAAUGUAAAUGACUAAACAAGGUUUAGCUUAUUGUGGCAUCAGGACCGUUGUGGCUCAGGUAUAGUGGAAAUGUGAUAUGGUAAUAACCUAUCAUGGGCAUUGAGGCUUUGUGCAUUGAGACAGGUUUGGCUACGUCCUCACAUUGAGAAUUGGAUCGUACUCACAAAUUGGUUUCGGCUUGAGAGAGGUAGCUCCUCCUCAAGCGUUGUACUCCGAAGUGUAGACACCACGGGGAGAGUACCCCGGCGAAGAUCCCUCAGGUGGUUGAGCCUUGUGCCUCCCCCGGUAGACGGGAUGUGUGGAUUGUGAGUUUGGGGUGAACCAGGAGUACCCCGGGAUGAUUGGAUAAAGGCCAAGUAAAAUAAGAAAUGGACAUGCAUGCAUAAUUAUCAUGUACUUGAUUAUCUAUCUAUCGGUUGAUAUCUUUCUUGCAGGCAUUGUAUUAGUUGCAUUAGUGGGUUUGAUAUUCUCCUUUAUUGAAAUACAUAUGCUUGAAUAGACCUAGUGGGCGAGUCGGUGCGGUCGGCGGCCGAACCCACUGGGAACUUCGUUUUAGUUCUCACACCACCACUAACCCUGCAGAUCCAUGCGCGAGCGGGGCGGCGGAGGAUCGAGACAAGGGUAUCGCGCCGUAGAUAGCGGACUUCGGAGUAUAGGUAUACCCUAUAUAUUAUAGCUUCAACUUUUGUAUGUUGAACAGAAAAAUGAUGUAAACCUUUUAUUUUGGUUAAAGGAAAAUGUGAUGUAAAUGUGAAUGAAUGGAAAAAAUGAAUGUAAAUGUAAUAGAUUUACUUGUGUUUGAUUCAAAUGAAAUCAAAUGACUUGUAUGUGGAUAAAUGUUUAGUUUAGUAUCGAUGCUUUCACAUGUAAUGGUUGUUGUUUGCCCUCGUGCAAACCUUGUAUAAUUGCAUUCAUCUGUAUUGAAUUGCUUGUAUUAUACAUGUGGUGGAGCCUUGGGCAGACAGGGGAGGUGCUGUCCGUUCGGCGUCUGUUCGCGUGCCCGAACCGACCAAAUUGGCGGCUCCGGGGCGUGACAGAUAGUUUGGUAUCAGAGCAAAGUGAAAGCAAAAGUCUAGGACGGACUUAGGGACCUUAGGAUUGGAGACCAUCGGAACUUAGGAAACAUAUGAUGUGAACUUGGUUAACACGGAAGCUAAUUGAUUGGGUUAUGAUUAGAACUUCUCUAAAAGGACUUAGAGAUGGAUUCAAGGGAUUGUUUGUUUUCUUCCUAAGGGAUUAUGUGGGGUGGCCGACUACAUAAUACCAAGGGUAGAAAAUGAACACACUUGAUUACUUCGCUUAAUUGGGUAGUUAUUUGGAAUGUGUAAGUGUUACGCAUGUCGAGUAUUAAUGUGUGUGUCUCGUUUCAGGAACUAAUGUCCCCGAGACGUUACACGCGUAGGUCCGCUCCGGCAUUGCCUGAUGAAGUGCCCGAGCAAGCGGGAUCUGACGAAGUUUGAGAGUUGCGGGCCCAAGUAGCAGCUUUGGCUGGGGCUAUGCGACAGCAAGGGGAGCAGAUAGAACGGCUCCAUAAGUUGGUGGCUCGACAGGCAGCGGCGGCUGCACCUGUACCUCAGGACCCGCACGCACCUGUGUCACCUACUCCAGCGGUGGUAGUGGCACCGCCGACGGCUUCGGGAUCUUCGGCUCCUAUUCCGGAGACACUUGAAGCCGAGCAAGAGCGCUCAUUGGCGGUGUUGACGGCUUUCAAGCGGUUCAACCCUCCGACUUUCAACGGGGACGUGAAAGAUCCGUGGGCGAUGGAGAAUUGGUUGGCCGCGAUGGAGGCAUUGUUCGAGGAUAUCUACACCCUCAAGAAGGAUAAGGUUCACCUUGCGGCCCAUUGUUUCGAGGGGUCGGCUCGGUUAUAGUGGACGCAAGCGAAGAAAGGUCGAUCAUUGGAUCUUGCUUCCUUAACUUGGGAGGCAUUCCAGAAGAUGUUGCUCAUGAAGUAUUUUCCUGAAAGCGAUAAGCGGAAGAUCAAGGAGGACUUCCGCAAAUUGAGGUAAGGAAAUCGAUCGGUGCGGGAAUACGAAAGGGAGUUCUCGCAUAUGGUUAACUGUGUGCCGGGCUUGGUUCAUGGUGACCUAGACCGAGCGGAGGUCUUCGAGCGUGGGUUGCGGCCCGAGAUAUUCAAGGUCAUUCAUGCCUUUCGGUUAAAGACCUACGAGGAUGUACUCGAUCGCGCGCUAUGGGUGGAGCGCGGCAACUCCAUUGCGCGCGAGGAGCGCGAGGCUUUUGAGAAAGACAAGGAUAGGGAGAAGUCCAAGAAGCGAGUGGCUGGUGGGUCCGCGGGGCAGUCGAGUUCUAAGCGACCCCCUCGGUACCGAAGAUCGCAGUGGCGGGGAGGCAGAGGCCAGACGAGGAGUCAGAUGACUUCCUUCCCGUGCGUGAUCUGCGGCGGGAAUCAUAGGCCCAAUGAAUGUUCUCAGCGUGACAGGAGGUGUUUUCGAUGCGGCCAAGCGAGACACUUGAGUUGGGAUUGCCCGGGCUGCACAUCACCUGUUCCGUCAGCUGCUUCGGCUCAGUAUGCUCCACGACAGCUUGCAGGACUACCAACUGCUAUGUCGGCUGGGCGCGCUUCAGCACCGCGUCAGCCGGAGGGAUCAUGUGCACCGAGUGGAUGAUUUUUCGCCACUCAGGUGGAGGAGCAGCCUGCUGUACACGACAACGUCAUGGCAAGUAUUAUUCUGAUUAAUGGCAUUAGAGCAAGGGCAUUGUUCGAUACGGGUGCAUCACAUUCAUUUAUUGGUGUAUCAUUUGCUAAGACUCAUGGCAUGGAGAUAGUGCAUAAUCAUGAUUAUUGGUGGGUUAAUGCGCUCGAGCACUCGUUUAGAGUUCAUGAGUGCUUAGUUUGUCCUGUUCAGAUCGGCGAGUGGAUCAUGCCGGCGAACUUGCUAGUGUUAAAGCAGAUGUGGGGAUUCGAUGUCAUCUUGGGAGUUAAUUGGCUCUCCAAGUACUAUGCUAGUAUUGACUGUGACAGCAAAGUGAUCACUUUUCGUGAGCCUGGUCAAGAGGAGUUGGUGUAUCAAGCGUGCAAGAGCUCGCGUUUCACGACGACUGUGUCGGCGGCGAGGGCGAGAAAGAUGAUCAAAGGCGGAUGUGUGGGCUAUUUGGCGACCAUGAUAGAGGCUCAAAAGGAGCAUCCGAAACUUGGAAAUAUCCGAGUAGCAUGUGAGUUCUCGGAUGUGUUUCCGGCGGAGUUACCGGGAUUGCCACCUGAUCGAGAGAUCGAGUUCGUUAUUGACUUGAUUCCCGGAGCGGCGCCAAUUUCGAAGGCUCCGUAUAGAAUGGCACCGGGGGAACUUAAAGAGUUAAAGGCCCAAUUAUAGGACUUGCUCGAUAAAGGCUUUGUGAGGCCGAGCAUGUCACCGUAGGGAGCUCCGGUGCUGUUUGUGAAGAAAAAAGACUGUACACUUCGACUCUUCAUUGAUUAUCGAUUCACGUAAGUAGUAAACUGUUUAAAGUUUUCUACUUUAUGUAAUGAUACUAUUGAAUAGUCUAGGACUGGCAAGUAUAGGAAUAGGACAACGAGGAAGGUAUAAGGAGAAAUUAUGAAAAGCUAGAUAUGAAUAGAGAUAAAACAUUAAGGUAAAAGAUAUGCCAUAACUAAGAGAAUAAAAGCAAACUGGCUUCUCAAUAAUUACGGAAAAAAUUUCUUACUGGAUUUAAUAGAAGUUCUGGACUUGUCCUAUGAGAAUGGAAAUAGGAAAAAGAAAAAAAUAAUUAGAUCCUUCAAAAUGAAGAACAAGAACUUCAAUUCAAAACCUACGUAAAGGUAAAGAUGUGAACGAAUCAUGCUUAUGAUAAAUACUAUGAACCAAGGGAAAAUAAAAAACAAUCACCGCAUGAAAGCUCAAUGAGAUUGAACUAAAAAGCAGCAUGUGGUAGACCAAAUGGAUCCACAUUAUAAUAUAUAAUCAGACCUAUCUAUAUUCAUGCUCAAUACUUCCAAAUGCAUAAAUAAAUCCAUAAAGCAUGGCAGAACUAUCAAACUUUCAUGCACACCACAAAAUCAGUGGUAUCUACAGGAAAUAUAGCAAUGAACAGAUAGAGGUCAAUGAAAUAGAACAUAAGCUACAAGCCUCAUCGCAUAAAUAUAAUUGGUUUUAGCAGAAAAGAAUAACAAAUAAUGCGCUAAACAGUUAUGUAAGUUGCAUGGCUCGAUGCCAGCAAAUAAUCAUACUAGAGAUAGGAAAGAAAUAUUUUAGACACACACAAAAUUUGCUGAUUUUCUGGGCCAAUUUAAACUAUUCUCAGUACAAAUCACGAAUUUCAGCAUUCACGGACUUUGUAACCCAAACCACAUAUUAUCUACUCCCUCUUACGCUACACUAUAGAUUCUUCCAUUAACAAUAUGGACCAAUAAACAAUAAGAGAAGGGCAAAAUGCUAAAAAUGUGCAGAAGACUAAAAGAAUUUAGAGUAAUUAGAACUUCAGUUUAACCUCUGGCUUGUUAUGACUUUCUACUUCUUGACAAGAAAAAUUCUACAAAUGUAAUUAACCAUACAAAAGAUUCGUAAUGAUUGAAUGCAGUGCAGGGAAAAAGGAGACAUGGAAGAUGUGGAGUGCAGCCAUUAUCCCGUUAUGAUGCCACCGUAAUAAGGUCCCAGAAUGGAGUAUACGUAGACAGUCCUAAACUUCAACAAUGUAGCAUGAAGUAACUGCUUUAAGGAAGCAUGCAACAUAAGGUUACAAGCCCAAGACUUUUAACAUUGCACCAAGGAAUGGUUAUUAAAUAGAAAAACUGUGAUCAUUUCAUAAGUACUCUUUUAUACACUUCGCUCAAGAAACCAACGGAAUGCUAAACAAGUAAACAAAGUUAAUCUUCUUGACAAUAUAAUAGUUAUUGGACACCUUACAGGCAUUCCAAACCAAAGGGCGGCAUGGAAAAACUGACAGGGUACAUGAAAUAGACAGCCUGAGCUAUUAUAUCCUAAACAAUUUUUGAAGUAUCUAUCCUGUGUAUUGCCUGCCUAUGGUAAAAAGCACUUUCACUUGUUGUUGAUGAAUGAUGAUGCAGUAAUGGUUGGUCAUUUAGAAAUAUUUUACUAAAUCAAAAUGGUAGUAGAGAUAUUACUUUCAUGAUUAGUGGCACAGUUGACAUGGUUAACUAGACUAAUAUAGUUAAAUUUGUUAUAAUUGCAUAAAGAAACUCUAAUGCCAUAUACAUGCAGUGACAAAUAAUAUCUUCAAUUUGUUCCUCUAAAACGUUAAUCAAAUGGUUAAUUAUAUCCAACUUAAGAUAGUUUUACAAUGUCAAAAAAGAUACACAGUACUUGCAGCAUAAAAAACUUACUACAAUUUUUUUCGUAAAGACGAUGGGAGAUGUUAAGAUUGGGUACCUGUAGGCACAUUGCAGCCUCCAGAGUGUUCCGAAUGCAUGUUAGAUACAAUGUAGAGUAUUAGCCUACUAAGAUCAAAACAAACAGAAUAUAAAAACCAUGUAACUUAACUGAAAAAACUAUUAAAAGAAGCAAUUGUAGUAUAAAGUUUCUCUAAAAUUCAAAAAUUCCGCCCAUUGGGGUGGAACUAGUGUAUCAAAUCCACAAAAAAAUGGUAAAUUUAGCUUUUCUAAAAUGGCAAGGACAGAGACAAGAACUACAAAACCAACUGAUUUCAAUCACAAGAACAAAACUUCCAAUUCAGCAAUUCCAAGUCAUGGGUAUGCUAUAGGUGGAUCGAAAGCGAAAAGGCGGUAAAGUUGAGAUAAUUUGGCUUUACAUAAAAAGACCAAAAACAGAUAAGAAUAAUAAACAAGGAGAGAAUUGAAUAUAAAACUACAUGGACGUGCUAUCGGUGGAUCCAAUGACAGGACUGAGAGAGAAAGUUGGGCUAUUUUUGUUGAGCUGUUGUCCAGUGUGGCCUAUGUGCAGUCGCACGACGGCAGAGACUAGGUGAUCCAUGCUAUGCACACUAACAGAAAAGUUAAAUGUUGGAUAUAGGAACUAGACCCAGAACCUCUUGAACCUUAUAACUGACUCUAAUCCCAUGCGACCCGAAAGACCAAUUCGCCUAAUAGCUCUAACAUUCAGAAGCGCAAGAACAGAAAGAAGCUACACUACCAUUACAGCGGCUCCAAGACAUAGGUAUGCUAAAGGUGGAUCUAGAAUAUGGAAUAAGACAAUAAAGUUGGGAUCGAUCUUUGACUUCCCACGAGUGCAUAGAACAGGUAAUAACAACGAAGAUGACUGAUUUGAGGCCUACAAACUACAUUCACACAAUUGGGCAAUUUCACACGAUAUUGAUGCAUCCAAACUAGAAAAUGAGACCCUCGGAAUGGCAAAAUUGUAGAUGAGUACUGACUCGAUUACAAAAACUAGAGCACCAAAUCGAGAAUUCGGAGACAGGGAUUUGAUUAGGGCAUCUCCAUAUGCGGUGCAGAGAGAGAGAGAGAGAGAGAGAGAGAUACCAUCCGUGUGGGAGCUGCGGCGAUGGGUCAAGGAAUCAGGAGAAUAUAUAACUACUCACUAUUUCUCUUAUUCUAUAUUAUCUAUCCAAACGCUAUUUUUUUUAUCCGAAAACAAUCCAAUUUUCACCCAAACGCUAUUUUCCUUAUCUCCACACUUGUACCUAUUUCUGAAAUAGCUAAUUCUCGUUUAUUCCCGAACCAAACGGUGCCUACAUAUACAAUACACGAAUAGAUCCAAUCCGCCAA